GUUUAUUAUGGCCAUAUCUUGUCAACUUUGACAAUCUUUUUCUGUUUCGUAAUGAUCUACGUUGUUUGGGUCAUGGUUAACAAAUUGGUAUCUCAUUGCAAUUGUGGUUAAGCUUUUUAGCUGUCAAUUACCAAGUUUAACGUUUAAAUUGACCUUGCUAUGACCACCUCAUUGGCUUUUUAGAAUGUCAUUUAUAGUUAUGAGAUAAAAGAAGUAAUAUUGAUAUUCAAAAUCGGCCUCACCUACUAAGUCAUUUACCAAGUUUUAGUGUAUUAUCUGCAUGGCUAGUUAUUUAAGAGCAAAAGUAUCAUUUUUUAUCCAAUUAAUAAAAAAUAGAUUGGUUUGGGUUAUAUUUUAGGGUUAAGUACAAGAAAGAGCCAUGUAUAUUUAUUAAUUUGUGAAAUUAAUAGCCUAUAGAUGCACUGAUCUUGAUGCUAAUGAAGAUGUUGAAGUCAAUGUACAUACAUUUACGAUAGUGAUGUUUCAAUCAUACAUAUUUCACAUAUUACAGAUAUAAAAAUAUUCUGAUAUGAAGGUGUGAACACCAAAAGGAAAAGGAAAAAAGCAACAGCCACGAAUAAGAUGUAAAUAAGUUUCAGUAGUGCUGCUUCUGUUAGUAGUAGAUAAAGAAGAAAAUUUAACUCAGUAACAACAUAAGAAAUAAAAAUGAAUGUAAAAUCAAGGCCUAAGCUUCAAUUGCACAUCUUAGUGAAUUGUGAAUUAAAUAAAAAAACGCCCAAAUGCAUAUCGGAUUAUUGAAGUUAAAAUCGGAGAUAUGAUGUUGGCAUCUUGCUUUUUAACGAUUUGGUAGAGUUAAAAAAUAGUAUUUUAGAUGGAUAAAUAACAAAAAUAUAGUCCAUUAACAUAAUUACAAAAAAUAUAUUACACUUUAUGUUCUAUAAAGAAAUAUACUAAAUUGCUUGUAAUGAGAAGUAAUGAAUUACAAAACGACAUUUUAAAAUAAGAUUAUUGAAAUUAAAAGUAAAUUAACUAAUUAAAGAUUUAAAGCAUUAAUAUAAAAAAUGAAACCACGAUGUUAUAAUUCACAAAAUUGUAGAAACUUGUUUAAAAAUAUCAUUUGAUGAUCAAUUAGUAAAUUUAGUAUAUAUAUUUAUCUAAAAUUAAUAAUUCAAAUUAUUCAAAACAUUUAAUUUUGGAUAAUGCAAUAUACAACUGUUUGUAUGUAAAAAUGUUUCCUGAUAAUUGAUAUUUGAAUAAAAAAAAAUGGUCUUGUAUUAUAAAUAAGAUUAUUAUAAUAUAUUUAAAAAAGAGUUUAUUACGUCUAUAUAACUUAAUAGAUUAAGUUAAUAGGAUAAAACAAUAUUUAUAUAAAAUGAAUAUUCAAAACUGAAAGUUAGUUUUAGUUGAUAUCUGGAAUGGUUUUUUAUGCCUAGCGAUUACCCUUUAAAAUAGAAAAAAUCAAAAAAAUAAGUUAGUUUAUAAGAUAUAUGUGACUUGUUAAAUAUAACCUAACUUGCUUACAUUUUGAAACGUCGUCACAUUUGUAGAAUUUAAAACUUAUGGCAAAUGAAAUGUAGUUUAAUAUGUAAAAUUACAUCAAUAAUAAACUCAAUAUGUGUCAGGCAUCUUAAAUUAUUUAAAAGACGUGUAAAUUUAUUUAUGAAAAUAGUAAUGGGGCCCGAUAACAAAGCUUGUCUAGAUAUAAAUCAUAAAAAGCACUCUCUAUGUCAUUACUUCUUUUCACUUCUUUGGUUGCAUUCCUAACUAAUAUGGAAAAAAUCAAUUCCAGAUUUGCAAGACUAAGAAUGAAAAGUACAAUGCUAUAUUGCUUUAAAUUUUGCAAAGUGCAAUGUAUUUGAUGAGAAAAUGAUUGACAGUAGAAUCCUAAAAUUCUUGAAACUCAAAAUCGAAUUAAAAACAAAAAAUUUAUUAUCAUAGAUUCCGAAAUCAAACAAUUACAUGAAAUUAAUUUUUACUUUUGUUUCAUAGAUUUAUUAGGCUUGCCAGCUUAUGUUCUUUACUUAAAGUAUGAUAAAUUAUGACAAGAUUGGUUAACAAUUAUGUUUUUAUUGUAUAAUAGAUUACUUUUUGCUUCAGUGUACAACAUCUAAUAUGAAUAUAUACCAUAAAACUAUCCAUCUAAAAUACUUUUCUUUUUAACUUUACCAAACAGUUAAAAAACAUGUUACCAACAUCAUAUCUCCGAUUUCCACUUCAAUAUUCCAAUACGCAUUUGGGCAUUUUUAUUUAAUUCACAGUUCAAUAACAUGUAUAAUUUUAGCUUGGGCCUUGAGUUUUCCUUCAAUUUCUUUUGUCAUGUUGCUACUGUGUUAAAUUUUCGUUCUUAAUUAUCUACUACUAACAGAAGCAGUACUAUCAAAACUUUUUUCCUUCUUAUUCGUGGUUGUUGCUUAUUCCCUUUUCAUUUGGUGUUCACACCUUCAUAUCAGAAUAUUUUUAUAUCAUAAUAUGUGAAAUAUGUAUGAUUGAAUGAUCGCCAUCAUAAUAGCAUGUACAUUAGUUUCAACAUCUUCAUUAGCAUCAUGAUCAGUGCAUCUGAAGAUUAUUAAUAUCCCAAAUUAAACUAUGCAUGACUCUUUCUUGUACUUAACCCUAAAAUAUAACCCAAAUCAAUCUAUUUUUUAGUAAUUGGAUCAAAAUUGCUACUUUUACUUAUAAAUAACUAGCCAUGUAGAUAAUACAAUGAAACUUGGUAAAUAACUUAAUAGGCGAGGCCUAUGUUGAAAAUCAAUUUUCUCUUUUAUCUUAUGACGAUAAACACCAUUCAAAAAAUCCAAUGAUGUGGUCAUAUAAGGGUCAAUUAAACAUAAAACUUGGUAAAUGAUAGCUAAGAAGCCUACCCACAAUUGCAAUGACAUACCAAUUAGUUAACCAUGACCCAAGAAUGAUAACUGGUUAUGAAACAUAAAAACUUCUCAAAGUUGACAACAUAAGGCUAAACUAAACAAAGAAAUUAAUAAACUUUCUCAUUUCUUGCAAUUAAUCACAAAAGAAGAAAAAUCAAAGUGUCGUCACCUUUGACAGAUCACGGUGAAAGACCUGGGAUAAAUAUUAACCGGGCUCCACCCUAUAACUUACAGUAGUCCCUUCCGACGACGGUAUGGCGGUUUACCCAAACAUAAAUUUUAAAAAGUAUGAUAAGACAAUAUUAUUUAUUAUGGUAGAAGUGUACUUGCAUGAGUUUUCCACGAGAAUAGUUUAUAACUAUUAAUCCAAUAUUUUAUGGUUUAUGGAAUAUAUAUUCCUUACAAGUGGAUAUUAACACAAUUAUAAUUUAAUCAUGGCAACAACACUGAGAUGAAGUCCCUGCUUCGCAUGNAUGAGUUACUAAAGGGUUUGGACACUCAUUGGAUAAUAAUAAACAUAUAAAUUUAAUUAACUAAACCCAAAAACGACAUCGGAACGUUUCGGCACACGGCGAGUUAUACGGGUAGAACGGGUUUUUCGGCGAUGGAAAACUUCGAGUUGUUACAGAUGUUUUAAUUAAGUAAUGCUUUAUCGCAAAUUUUUUUAAAUUACCCGGACAACGAGGAACGAUGUCAUACCUUAAAUUGGAAUAAAUGUUAUGACAAUAAACCACAACACAAAAACCAUCACGACAAGAGAAUUUUUUGUUGUGUAGGCCAUUUAUUUGACAAACAAUAUUGCUUGAUUUUUAUUGUAAGAAUAGAAUUUAAAAAACUAUCGUAGUUUAUGUCGAAUUAGAACUCCUUACAUAGUCAUUCAAGUUAAGCAUAAGAGUUUGUUAGCACCAUUAAUUAAGAUCUUGAAAUUUUAUUAUUAANNNNNNNNNNNNNNNNNNNNNNNNNNNNNNNNNNNNNNNNNNNNNNNNNNNNNNNNNNNNNNNNNNNNNNNNNNNNNNNNNNNNNNNNNNNNNNNNNNNNCUCGAAUCCUUAGAAGCACCUACUCGACGAAACCCUAGUGAUUCCCUGAGGAAACCGAAGUCAUCCAGGUUUGGAACUUCCAUGAGAAAACCAAUUGAUAUCAUAGAUUUAGAGAGAGUCAAUGUGCAAAACAAAGACAUGUCCCGAUAAUGAGAAUUCCACUUGAGAAAGUGAAGAUCCAAGGCAACAAAUCCAUUCGUGUCUCAUUCCAAUUCAUGAUCUGCAUCUUAUUCUUUGAUUUUCGGGGCAAAAUUCCCUCUAACGGGGGGAUAAUGUAACAACCCGAAGUUUUCCAUCGCCGAAAAACCCGUUCUACCCGUAUAAGUCGCCAUGUGCCGAAACGUUCCGAUGUCGUUUUUGGGUUUAGUUAAUUAAAUUUAUAUGUUUAUUAUGAUCCAAUGAGUGUCCAAACCCUUUAGGAACUCAUGAAACAAGCCCAAAAUAUUUAUUUCAUAAGUUUUAGAAAUGUCCCCGCCGGGUGACGGAAACUCAAUCGGGUGCGACCUAAAGCCUCGUUUAAGGCCGGUAUCGGGUAGAAUUUCACCGUGUCCAAGUUUUAAGAGCUAUAUAAACGUAUUAAACCUUUCAUUUGAAGGUUUUUCCCUCUCUCUCUACUCUCUCUCUAACCUCUAUCCUAAAUCCAAUAUUUAAGGGUCCAAAACUCAAUUUUAAGGCCUCAAAUCCCUAAGGUACCUUCCUAACUUCAUUGUAUAGCAUAUUUGGCUUCUAAAUUUGAGAUUAAAUCAUGAGAUUGGACAUAUUAUAUGAGUUUACAGCCCAGGAAGAUGCCUAGGCCGUAAACACUAAGUUUGAAGGGUUUUGAGCCCUUAAACCCCUUCUAGACAAUUUUGGGACCUAGAUAUGACUUAAUGACUUCAUGAAUUGGACUUAUAACAAUUUAAACAUGAAUUUUGAAGGCUUUGAAGGAGUUUAUGGCCAAGCCUCAUGCUUGGGCCGUAAACUCAUAUAAUUGAGGUUUUCAUGACCUUAAACCCUUCCAAAUCCCUAAUAAGGCUUAGGUAUGAAUUAUAGAAUAUCGGUUUUAGCAUUUGGACACUUGAAACAUAAUUUUUGAAGGAUUAUUGUGAGUUUACGGCCAAGGCAAGUGCUUGGGCCGUAAACUCCUUCAAACAUGGUGAAAAUUCAUUUUAAAGUGUUGUUUAACCCCUAUAACACCCCUAAAGCCUUGGAAUGAAUUUUAGAAGUCCUUACAAUCAAGUUUUUGGUCUUAAAACAUAUGGAAUAACUCACUAAGAGAGUUUACAGCCAUGAGGGGGGUCUCAUAGGCCGUAAACUCCAAAAACCCCUCCAAAAUUUCAAGAAAAUGCAUGAAAGGCCUAGGAAUAAAUUUAGUAAUCACAUGUGAUUUGUUUUAGCAUCAUUUAUCACAAUUUUCAUGGGUAUUAAGAAGUUUACGGCCAGGAGUCCAUGCUAGGCCGUAAACUCCCAUAAAUAAGUCAUUUUGAUGUUUAAAAUCCAUUCCAAGCCUUUAAACCAAACCUAGAAAAAUUCCCUUAAGUGUUACAAGCAAAGUUGUGCCAUAACUCACCCCACCAUGAGUUUACGGCCGUAAACUCAUGGGGAGAGGGUCAUUAUGGCCGUAAACUCCCUAAGGAGUGUUCCUUUGAAGUCUCAAUUCAAUAUCCUAAAUUUAUGUGUCCUUAAAUGUCACCCGGGUCCCUCCAAACACUUGUAUCNNNNNNNNNNNNNNNNNNNNNNNNNNNNNNNNNNNNNNNNNNNNNNNNNNNNNNNNNNNNNNNNNNNNNNNNNNNNNNNNNNNNNNNNNNNNNNNNNNNNUAAACUCAUGGUGGGGUGAGUUAUGGCACAACUUUGCUUGUAACACUUAAGGGAAUUUUUCUAGGUUUGGUUUAAAGGCUUGGAAUGGAUUUUAAACAUCAAAAUGACUUAUUUAUGGUAGUUUACGACCUAGCAUGGACUCCUGGCCGUAAACNAUAGGGGUUAAACAACACUUUAAAAUGAAUUUUCACCAUGUUUUAAGGAGUUUACGGCCCAUGCACUUGCCUUGGCCGUAAACUCACAAUAAUCCUUCAAAAAUUAUGUUUCAAGUGUCCAAAUGCUAAAACCAAUAUUCUAUAAUUCAUACCUAAGCCUUAUUAGUGAUUUGGAAGGGUUUAAGGUCAUGAAAACCUCAAUUAUAUGAGUUUACGGCCCAAGCAUGAGGCUUGGCCAUAAACUCCUUCAAAGCCUUCAAAAUUCAUGUUUAAAUUGUUAUAAGUCCAAUUCAUGAAGUCAUUAAGUCAUAUCUAGGUCCCAAAAUUGUCUAGAAGGGGUUUAAGGGCUCAAAACCCUUCAAACUUAGUGUUUAGGGCCUAGGCAUCUUCCUGGGCUGUAAACUCAUAUAAUAUGUCCAAUCUCAUGAUUUAAUCUCAAAUUUAGAAGCCAAAUAUGCUAUACAAUGAAGUUAGGAAGGUACCUUAGGGAUUUGAGGCCUUAAAAUUGAGUUUUGGACCCUUAAACUUUGGAUUUAUGAGAGAGGUUAGAGAGAGAGUAGAGAGAGAGGGAAAAAGCUUCAAAUGAAAGGUUUAAUAUGUUUAUAUAGUUCCCAAAACUUGGACACGGUGGAAUUCUACCCGAUACCGGCCUUAAACAAGGCUUUAGGUCGCACCCGAUUGAGUUUCCGUCACCCGGCGGGGACAUUUCUAAAACUUAUGAAAUAAAUAUUUUGGGCUUGUUUCAUGAGUUACUAAAGGGUUUGGACACUCAUUGGAUAAUAAUAAACAUAUAAAUUUAAUUAACUAAACCCAAAAACGACAUCGGAACGUUUCGGCACACGGCGAGUUAUACGGGUAGAACGGGUUUUUCGGCGAUGGAAAACUUCGAGUUGUUACAGAUGUUUUAAUUAAGUAAUGCUUUAUCGCAAAUUUUUCUAAAUUACCUGGACAAAGAGGAAUGAUGUCAUACCUUAAAUUGGAAUAAAUGUUAUGACAAUAAACCACAACACAAAAACCAUCACGACAAGAGAAUUUUUUGUUGUGUAGGCCAUUUAUUUGACAAACAAUAUUGCUUGAUUUUUAUUGUAAGAAUAGAAUUUAAAAAACUAUCGUAGUUUAUGUCGAAUUAGAACUCCUUACAUAGUCAUUCAAGUUAAGCAUAAGAGUUUGUUAGCACCAUUAAUUAAGAUCUUGAAAUUUUAUUAUUAAUGUAUGUUCAUAUUGAAAUUAAAUUAGUAUAUAAAUUGAAAAGGUUAUGUUACGUUUGACAUCAAUUUAAGUGUAUGUGACAUCAUUAAUUUCAAACACAACAUAACCUCUUCUAUUUACAUGCUAAUUUAAUUUCAAUAUGAACAUACAUUAAUAAGAAAAUUUAAAGAUGGUAAUUAAUGGUGCUAACUAACUACUAUGCUCAACUUGAAUGGUGCUAAAGAGUGUUAUGCUUCAGUUGAAUGACUAUUUAAGGAGUGGUAAUCCAACAUAAAGUAUGAUCCUUUCUUAAUUGUAUUCAUACAAUAAAAAUCAAGAAGUAUUGUUCCUCAAGCCAAUGGCCUACACAAAAAAAAGUUCUUUUGUCGUGAUGGUUUUGGUGUUGUAUAUUUGCAUGAUAUGUGUUCCGAUUUUAGGUAUGACAUCAUUCCUAUAUUUUUGGGUAUUUUAGAAAAAUUUACCAUAAAGCAUGAUAUAAUUAAAACAUCUAUAUUGAAUUUUCAUCUAUACAGCUCUUGGCCCAGCAUGUUUUGGACGGUGUGACGCAAUCAGCAUCGAUUGCUUACAGCUUUGCCAAGAACUAGCUUUUGCUACAGGUUCAUGCGAAGCAGGGCCUUCAUCUCAGUGUUGUUGCCAUGAUUAAAUUACUAUUGUGUUAAUAUCCACUUGUAAGGAAUAUGUAUUCCGUAAACCAUCAAAUAAUGGGUUAAUAAUGAUAAAAUAUUUUCAUGGUAUACUGAUGUUACUUUAAACUACAUGAUAAUCCCAUAAAGCUAUUAAAAUAAUUUUAAUUUAGUAAUGUUCGUUUAUUUAUUUGAAUGUGUAACUAAUAAACAAAUAUACAUCACCCAAAAAUUUCAUAAGAUACUACGUUGCCGAAGACUCUUUUGGUAACUCUGAAGAUCAUUUUGUAAGAUUCAAUGUUAUUUUUUUAUAAAAGGGAAACAAUAAAGAUAUAAUAAAAUCGUUUAAUGGGGUAUUCCAAGACGUUACAUCUCUAUGGAACGUCUUUGUCAACUUCAUACUUUGACAUUACUACUACUAUUUACGUAACAUUUUUUUUCCAUUUUUAAAUUUAUGUUUGGGUAAACCUUGGAUUUAGUGAGUCCCUAUGGCAUGUAAGUAGACGUCUACCAUACUAAAUAGUAUGGUUUUAUCUUACUUUUUUAAUUUUAUUUAUGGGUAAGCCAUUGUUGCCUAAGGAAUCUUCGGCCACCGUCGCCAGAAGGGACUAUUGUUAGUAAUAGGGUGAAGCCCAAUUGACAUUUAUCCCGGAUCUGACACCGUUAUCUAUCAAAGGUCACAACAGUUAUCUAUCAAAGGUCACAACAGUUCGAUAUUUUUUUUUUUGGAAUUAGUUGAUAGAAAUAGCAAAGGUAUUCAUUUGUUUGUUAAUUAUAGCCAUAUCAUGUCAACUUUAACAAUCUUUUUCUGUUUCAUAAUCAUCUACGUUGUUUGGGUCAUGGUUAACAAAUUCGUAUCUCACUGCAAUUGUGGUUAAGUUUUCAGCUGUCAAUUACCAAGUUUAACGUUUAAAUUGUCCUUGCUAUGACCACAUCAUUGGAUUUUUAGAAUGUCAUUUAUAGUUAUGAGAUAAAAGAAGAAAUAUUGAUAUUCAAAAUCGGCCUCACCUAUUAAGUCAUUUACCAAGUUUUAGUGUAUUAUCUGCAUGGCUAGUUAUUUAAGAGUAAAAGUAUCAUUUUUUAUCCAAUUACUAAAAAAUAGAUUAAUUUGGGUUAUAUUUUAGGGUUAAGUACAAGAAAGAGCCAUGUAUAUUUAUUAAUUUGUGAUAUUAAUAGCCUAUAGAUGCACUGAUCAUGAUGCUAAUGAAGAUGUUGAAGUCAAUGUACACACAUUUACGAUAGUGAUGUUUCAAUCAUACAUAUUUCACAUAUUACUGAUAUAAAAAUAUUCUGAUAUGAAGGUGUGAAUACCAAAUGAAAAAGGAAAAAAGCAACAACCAUGAAUAAGAUGGAAAUAAGUUUCAUUAGUGCUGCUUCUGUUAGUAGUAGAUAAAGAAGAAAAUUUAACUAAGUGACAACAUGAGAAAUGAAAAUGAAUGUAAAAUCCAAGCCUAAGCUUCAAUUGCACAUGUUAGUGAAUUGUGAAUUAAAUAAAAAAAAUGCCCAAAUGCAUAUUGGAUUAUUGAAGUUAAAAUCGGAGAUAUGAUGUUGGCAUCUUGCUUUUUAACGAUUUGGUAGAGUUAGAAAAUAGUAUUUUAGAUGGAUAAAUAACAAAAAUAUAGUCCAUUAACAUAAUUACAAAAAAUAUAUAGCACUUUAUGUUCUAUAAAGAAAUAUAUUAAAUUGCUUGUAAUGAGAAAUAAUGAAUUACAAAACAAUAUUUUAAAACAAGAUUAUUCAAAUUAAAAGUAAAUUAACUAAUUAAAGAUUUAAAGUAUUAAUAUAAAAAAUGAAACCACGAUUUUAUAAUUCACAAAACUUUAAAAACUUGUUUAAACAUGUCAUUUGAUGAUCAAUUAGUAAAUUUAGUAUAUUUAUCUAAAAUUAAUAAUUUAAAUUAUUCAAUACAGUUAAUUUUGGAUAAUGCAAUAUACCAAUGUUUGUACGUAAAAAUGUUUCCUGAUAGUUGAUAUUUGAAUAAAAAAAUGGUAUUGUGUUAUAAAUAAGAUUAUUAUAAUAUAUUUAGAAAAGAGUUUCUUACUUCUAUAUAACUGAAUAGAUUAAGUUAAUAAGAUAAAACAAUAUUUAUAUAAAAUGAAUAUUCAAAACUGAAUGAUACAUAGUAACUUAAAUUGACAAAUAUAAAAAUAAAUGAGACAUAACAUUUGAGAUACAUAUACAAGUCAAAUUUACAUUUGCAUUAAAAAUAUAGUAAGAAUUUUGCAUUGUUAGAAAGUUGGUUUUAGUUGAUAUCUGGAAUGGUUUUUUAUGCCUAGAGAUUACACUUUAAAGCGGUAAAAAAUCAAAAAAAUAAGUUCGCUUUUAAGAUAUAUGUGACUUGUUAAAUAUAACCUCACUUGCUUACAUUUUGAAACGUCAUCGCAUUUGUAGAAUUUAAAACUUAUGGCAAAUGAAAUAUAGUUUAAUAUGUAAAAUUACGCCAAUAAAAAACUCAAUAUGCGUCAGGCAUCUUAAAUUAUUUAAAAGAUGUGUAAAUUUAUUUAUGAAAAUAGUAAUGGGAUCUGAUAACAAAGCUUGUCUAGAUAUAAAUCAUAAAAAGCACUCUCAAUGUCAUUACUUCUUCUCACUUCUUUGGUUGCAUUCCUAACUAAUAUGGAAAAAAUCAAUUCCAGAUUUGCAAGACUAAGAAUGAAAAGUACAAUGCUAUAUUGCUUAAAAUAUUGCAAUGUGCAAUGUAUUUGAUGAGAAAAUGAUUGACAGUACAAUCCUAAAAUUCUUGAAACUCAAAAUCCAAUUAAAAACAAAAAAAUUUACAAUCAUAGAUUCUGAAAUCAAACAAUUACAUGAAAUUAAUUUUUACUUUUGUUUCAUAGAUUUAUUAGGCUUGCCAGUGAUGUUCUUUACUUCAAGUGUGAUAAAUUAUGACAAGAUGUUAAGAAUUAUGUUUUUAUUGUAUAAUAGAUUACCUUUUGCUUCAGUGUACAACAUCUAAUAUGAAUAUAUACCAUAAAACUAUCCAUCUAAAAUACUUUUUUUUAACUUUACCAAACAGUUAAAAAACAUGUUACCAACAUCAUAUCUCCGAUUUCAACUUCAAUAAUCCAAUACGCAUUUGGGCAUUUUUAUUUAAUUCACAGUUCAAUAACAUGUAUAAUUUUAGCUUGGGCCUUGAGUUUUCCUACCAUUUCUUUUGUCAUGUUGUUGUUGUGUUAAAUUUUCGUCCCUAUCUACAACUAACAGAAGCAGUACUAUCAAAAAAAAUUUCCUUCUUAUUCGUGGUUGUUGCUUUUUCCCUUUUCAUUUGGUAUUCACACCUUUAUAUCAGAAUAUUUUAUAUCAAUAAUAUGUGAAAUAUGUAUGAUUGAAUGAUCGCCAUCAUAAUUGCAUGUACAUUAGUUUCAACAUCAUCAUUAGCAUCAUGAUCAGUGCAUCUAAGGAUUAUUAAUAUCCCAAAUUAAAAUACGCAUGACUCUUUCUUGUACUUAAACCUAAAAUACAACCCAAAUCAAUCUAUUUUUUAGUAAUUGGAUCAAAAUUGCAACUUUUACUUAUAAAUAACUAGCCAUUUAGAUAAUACAUUGAAACUUGGUAAAUAACUUAAUAAGCGAGGCCUCUGUUGAAAAUCAACAUUUCUAUUUUAUCUUAUGAUGAUUAACACCAUUCAAAAAAUCCAAUGAUGUGGUCAUAUCAAGGUCAAUUAAACAUAAAACUUGGUAAAUGACAGCUAAGAAGCCUACCCACAAUUGCGAUGACAUACCAAUUUGUUAACCAUGACCCAAGCAUGAUAACUGGUUAUGAAACAUAAAAAACUUCUUAAAGUUGACAACAUAUGGCUAAAAUAAACAAAGAAAUUAAUAAACUUUGUUAUUUCUUGCAAUUAAUCACAAAAGAAAAAAAAUCAAAGUGUCGUGACCUUUGAUAUAUCACGGUGAAAGACCUUGGAUAAAUAUUAACCAGGUUCCACCCUAUAACUCACAGUAGUCCCUUCCGACGACGGUAUGGUGGUUUACCCAAACAUAAAUUUUAAAAAGUAUGAUAAGACAAUAUUAUUUAUUAUGGUAGCAGUGUACUUGCAUGAGUUUUCCACGGGAGUAGUUUAUAACUAUUAAUCCAUUAUUUGAUGGUUUACGAAAUAUAUAUUUCUUACAAGUGGAUAUUAACACAAUUAUAAUUUAAUCAUGGAAAUAACACUCAGAUGAAGGCCCUGCUUCGCAUGAACCUGUAGCAAAAGCUAGUUCUUGGCAAAGUUGUAAGCAAUCGAUGUUGAUUGCGUCACACCUUCCAAAACAUGCUGGUCCAAGAGUUGUACGGGUGGAAACUCAAAAUAGAUAAUUUUAAUUAAAUCAUGCUUUAUCGUAACGUUUUCUAAAUUACCCGAACAAAGAGGAAUGACGUCAUACCUAAAAUCGGAAUACAUGUCAUGAAAAUAAACCACAACACAAAAACCAUCACGACAAGAGAAUUUUUUGUUGUGUAGGCCAUUUAUUUGACAAACAAUAUUGCUUGAUUUUUAUUGUAAGAAUAGAAUUAAAAAAACGAUGUUAGUUUAUGUCGAAUUAGAACUCCUUACAUAGUCAUUCAAGUGAAGCAUAAACUUGUCAGCAUCGUUCAAUUUGAGCAUAACAGUUUGUUAGCACCAUUAAUUAAGAUCUUGAAAUUUUAUUAUUAAUGUAUGUUCAUACUGAAAUUAAAGUAGUAUAUAAAUUGAAGAGGUUAUGUUACGUUUGAUAUCAAUUUAAGUGUAUGUUACAUCAUUAAUUUCAAACACAACAUAACCUCUUCUAUUUACAUGCUAAUUUAAUUUCAAUAUGAACAUACAUUAAUAAGAAAAUUUAAAGAUGGUAAUUAAUGGUGCUAACUAACUACUAUGCUCAACUUGAAUGGUGCUAAAGAGUGUUAUGCUUCAGUUGAAUGACUAUUUAAGGAGUGGUAAUCCAACAUAAAGUAUGAUCCUUUCUUAAUUGUAUUCAUACAAUAAAAAUCAAGAAGUAUUGUUCCUCAAGCCAAUGGCCUACACAAAGAAAAGUUCUUUUGUCGUGAUGGUUUUGAUGUUGUAUAUUUGCAUGAUAUGUGUUCCGAUUUUAGGUAUGACAUCAUUCCUCUAUUUUUGGGUAUUUUAGAAAAAUUUACCAUAAAGCAUGAUAUAAUUAAAACAUCUAUAUUGAAUUUUCAUCUAUACAGCACUUGGCCCAGCAUGUUUUGGACGGUGUGACGCAAUCAGCAUCGAUUGCUUACAGCUUUGCCAAGAACUAGCUUUUGCUACAGGUUCAUGCGAAGCAGGGCCUUCAUCUCAGUGUUGUUGUCAUGAUUAAAUUACUAUUGUGUUAAUAUCCACUUGUAAGGAAUAUAUAUUCCGUAAACCAUCAAAUAAUGGGUUAAUAAUGAUAAAAUAUUUUAGUGGUAUACUGAUGUUACGUUAAACUACAUGAUAUUCCCAUAAAGCUAUUAAAAAAAAUUUUAAUUUAGUAAUGUUCAUUUAUUUAUUUGAAUGUGUAACUAAUAAACAAAUAUACAUCACCCAAAAAUUUCAUAAGUUACUACGUUGCCGAAGCCACUUUUAGUAACUCUGAAGAUCAUUUUGUAAGAUUCAAUGUUAUUUUUUUAUAAAAGGGAAACAAUAAAGAUAUAAUAAAAUUGUUUAAUGGGGUAUUCCAAGAUGUUACAUCUCUAUGGAACGUCUUUGUCAACUUCACACUUUGACAUUACUAAUACUAUUUAUGUAAUAUUUUUUUUCCAUUUUUAAAUUUAUGUUUGGGUAAACCUUGGCUUUAGUGAGUCCCCUAUGACAUGUAAGUAGACGUCUACCAUACUAAAUAGUAUGGUUUUAUCUUACUUUUUAAAUUUUAUUUAUGGGUAAGCCAGUGUUUCCUAAGGAAUCUUCGGCCACCGUCGCCAGAAGGGACUAUUGUUAGUAAUAGGGUGAAGCCCAAUUGACAUUCAUCCCGGAUCUGACACCGUUAUCUAUCAAAGGUCAAAACAGUUCGAUAUUUUUUUUUGGAAUUAGUUGAUAGAAAUACCUAAGGUAUUCAUUUAUUUGUUUAUUAUAGCCAUAUCUUGUCAACUUUGACAAUCUUUUUCUGUUUUAUAAUGAUCUACGUUGUUUGGGUCAAGGUUAACAAAUUGGUAUCUCAUUGCAAUUGUGGUUAAGCUUUUUAGCUGUCAAUUACCAAGUUUAACGUUUAAAUUGACCUUGCUAUGACCACAUCAUUGGAUUUUUAGAAUGUCAUUUAUAGUUAUGAGAUAAAAGAAAAAAUAUUGAUAUUCAAAAGCGGCCUCACCUAUUAAGUCAUUUACCAAGUUUUAGCGUAUUAUCUGCAUGGCCAGUUAUUUAAGAGUAAAAGUAUCAUUUUUUAUCCAAUUACUAAAAAAUAGAUUGAUUUGGGUUAUAUUUUUGGGUUAAGUAAAAGAAAGAGCCAUGUGUAUUUAUUAAUUUGUGAUAUUAAUAGCCAAUAGAUGCACUGAUCAUGAUGCUAAUGAAGAUGUUGAAGUCAAUGUACAUACAUUUACGAUUGUGAUGUUUCAAUCAUACAUAUUUCACAUAUUACUGAUAUAAAAAUAUUCUGAUAUGAAGGUGUGAACACCAAAUGAAAAAGGAAAAAAGCAACUGUAACAACCCGAAGUUGUUCAUCGCCGGAAACCCGUUCUACCCGAAUAACUCGUCAGAAAUCGAAAUGUCCUGUUAUCGUUUUUGGGUUUAGUUAACUAAAAUUUUAUAUUUAUUUUCGUUCAAUGAGGGUCCAAAUCAUUUAGGAACUCAUGAAUUUAGUCCAAAACAUUUAUUUCAUAAGUUUUAGAAAUAUCCUCGUCGGGUGACGAAAACUCAAUCGGGUGCGACCCAAAGCAUCGUUUAAGGCCGGUAUCGGGUAGAAUUCCACCGUGUCCAAGUUUUAGGAACUAUAUAAACAUGUUUAAGCACUCAUUUGAAGCUUUUUCCUUCUCUCUCUACUCUCUCUCUAACCUCUCUCCUAAAUCCAAAGAUUAAGUGUCCAAAACUCAAAUUUAAGGCUUCAAAUCCUUAAGGUACCUUCCUAGCCUUAAUCUAUAGCAUGUUUAGCUUCCAAAUUAGACACUUAAUCAUGAAAUUGGACAAUAUAUGUGAGUUUACGGCCCAGGAGGCUGCCUAGGCCGUAAACACCAUUUUGAAGGGUUUUUAGCCCUUAAACUCCUUCCUAGACUCAAUUGGACUUUAGAUAUGGCUAAGGGACUUCAAGAUAUGGACUUAGAACACUUAAAACUUUGAUUUUGAGGACUUUGAAGGAGUUUACGGCCAAGGCAUAAGCUUGGGCCGUAAACUCAUGUUAAUGGGGUUUUUCAUGCCUUUAAACCCUUCCAAAUCACCUCUAUGGCUUAGAUAUGAAUUAUAGGACCUUGGUAUUAGCAUUUGGACACUUGAAACAUGAUUUUUGGGGGACUUAGAUGAGUUUACGGCCAAGGAUAGUGCUUGGGCCGUAAACUCCCCAAAACUUGGCAUAAAUCCAAUUCUAAGGUGUUAGAAAGCCAUCCAACACCACCAAAAGCCUUGGAAUAAAUCAAGGGACCAACCAAAAAUACUUUAAAGGCCUUAAACACAUCUUUUAUGGGAUUUCUAAGAGUUUACGGCCAAGACCUGUUCUUGGGCCGUAAACUCCAAAAUUUUUGGUGUUAGAAUGCAAACUAAACACCCCUACAGCCUUUAGAUGAAUUUUAGAAGUCCUUUCAUGCAAGUUUUAGACCUUGAAACACAUUGUAGCUUGACAUAUUAGAGUUUACGGCCAUGAAGGGGGUUUCAUGGGCCUUAAACUCCAUAAAUCCCUCAUAUGUCCCAUAUAAACUCAUUUCUAGGCUUGUGGAAAUUUUUAGAAUCACAUGUGAUUGGUUUUAACAACAUUUAGCACGAUUUUCAUGAGGAUUAAGGAGUUUACGGCCAGGAGCCUAUACUAGGCCGUAAACUCCCAUAAAUUAAUCAUUUUGGUGAUUUUAAUCCAUUCCAUGCAUUUAGAACAAAGCCUAGAAUCAUUUCCCAUGUCCAUGUAAGCCAUUUAAGCCAUUUAAACACCCAAAACCACACCCACAUGAGUUUACGGCCGUAAACUCAUGUAUGUGUGUGUUUUGUGGUUGUAAACUCAUUUAAAAGUUUACUCAUGGGGAGUAAACUCAAGUCCCAAGUCCCUAGUGUCAUUUCACAUCCUUAAACGCCACCCGGGUCCCUCCAAACACUCGUAUCGGAGUGUUUUCGCGACUAGAAGCAAUGGUCCCUAUCCAACAAUCAAUCUAAGUCCUAAUUAGAUACAAAUGUGUAUCUUUACAUUAUAAUUAGGAACCUCGUGUAUUUACAAGCCCCGGAUCAACUCUUAGCAUCCAAAUCGUCAUACUUCUCGUCCGGUGAGUUCAUACCCCUACGCCUUUUUCACUGUUUUUAACUGUUUUCAGGGGGGGAAUACAAGCAAACCAAAACUGUUUUCAAAUCAUAACAUUUAUGUGUUUCAAAUAAUAUCUGGCAAACUUAUAAACUCUUAUACUCCUUAUGUAUUAUGUUGAGCAUAAGGAAUGAUUUAUCAAUUACAACUAAAUGGAUUUUAGUUAAGAAAAUAAUCAAACUAAUCAAAUUAUUAUGGGAAUAAUUUGGGGUUCUAUGUUUCUCAUUAUAUCAUGUACUGAUAUCUGUAUUAAGUUAUUAGAUAAACUAUGUCUGAUUCAGUUUAUCUCCGUAUCAUUCGAAUGUUUUGCCAGAUAGUUUCAUUGUAUAUAUCUAUUUUCACUGUAUCAUGUCUUGAAAUCUUUGUAUGUUUGGUAUCGUAUUGGAACCCUGUGAAUAGUUAAUACUAGCUUGUGAGAUAGUCACUACCCUUUAUGGAUGAUCAAGUAAAUCCUCUCCGGAAGUGUAACCAGAGUCUCCUGGAGGGAGAGCGAGGAAUUUGUGAAUAGAUCUAUUCGGGACUGACAAUCCCACACCUUAACUGCUAGCUACAGUUAGGCGGGCACGCCUGGGGUGACAAAUUCUGUAUAUCAUUCGACGUCUGACUAACGUCAAGGAGGUCUCGUUGUCAUAUCAGCAUGGUUACCCGACUCACAAUACGUAUUAAUAUAAACUUAUUCACAGCUAGGAUUUGUUUAGAAUCUAUAUCUUGUUCGGGAUGGUAAUCCCAUGGUCUUGUAAUCUAUAUCUCGUUCGGGAUGGUAAUCCCAUGGUUUUAUGUCUAUAUCUCGUUCGGGAUGAUAAUCCCAUGAUCUUGUGUCUAUAUUUCGUUCGGGAUGGCAAUCCCAUGGUUUUGAAACUAAAUCUUAUACGGGAUGAUAAUCCCAUGAUUUUAUCAAGCUAUCUUAUAUCUAGUUUCGGGAUAGUGAUCCCAUGGUUUAUCAAGCUAUCUUAUAUCUAUUUUCGGGAUAGUGAUCCCAUGGUCUUUAUCGAAUUAUCUUAUAACUGGUUCGGGAUGUAGUCCCAAGGUUUUCAAAAUACUUUCUAUUUACAGUUCGUCUAAAUUAUAGUUUUGUAUAUUAAACUAUACUAUGUGUUAUUCAAUCAAUCUUACAUUUAGGAAAAUAUGGGAUUUUCCUGGGGUUAACUUAUAUCUGUAACAGAACUGUAAUGAAAGAUAACUUAACUACUUUACAUAAGAAAAUAUGGGAUUUUCUUGGAUAUCAAAUCUUUUCAGAAAACUAAAGGAAAUCGAUACAUUUUCACAAAACAAAACCGCUUAUGAACUCACCAGCUUUAUGCUGAUUUUCAAACUGCUUGUAUUCUCAGGUCCAAGUUAGACAGGUACCCGGCGAUAUCUUUUGGUGAAGACGGAGUGCUCCGAAGACUCGUCUCUUUUGUUCAUAUGAUAUAUGUAUAACUUUUGUACAAUUUACUUUUGAACCAAAUGUAAACUUUCAUAUAUAUGUAAUGUAAUGGUUGUUUACUGUGAUUACUAUGUACAUUGGAUUUGAUACACAACAUGGAGUCAACCCCGGGAACGUUUCCGCCUUUGGUUUUCGGGGUGUGACAGAUUGGUAUCAGAGCCCUUGUUUAUAGUGAACAGAGUAUACCAAACCUUACAUGGUAUAAAACUAUAAACAUUAAGGGGCCUAAGUGCUCUGAACUAAAAGUAUCCUACAAAAUAUAAGUAUUUUCAAAAGUAUUUAAGUAUGCCGAGCCGUCGAAAUCCGUAACUAUAAGUAGAACAAAACAUAAGUAAAUGGGUGUUGUACGCUGCGGUUAAACCUGGGCAGUUAUGUAGUCGUGUCUAGGGUCAAUAUAGCCUGGCCAACUAUAUUCAUUCGAGACACGGCCAACAUGUGCUUGGGAGUGACUGUGGCAUGCGGCAUACCUAAAACUUACCCAAUAUCCCAAACAACAAAUCGUCGCUGCAGCGAACCAUGAAAUACUAUGGGAGUAUUUCUCGAGCCGAUCCUUUGUAGAAAUUCUCGUAUACGCGUUAUUCCUUGAUCAUUCCUCUAGCGAUAAAAUGUUCUAUCUUGAUAACUCCUUUCUGCUUUAUCGCUUUGUAUGAUGCUAUAUUUGCCUUGAUGAGAUAUCUCCUGUCCCAUAUCUCUUGAUUCAAUUCAGAGGACUUAUGAUCCUCUCUUUCCUGAUCUUUUUAGAUCAAGAUGCCUCCAAGAAAGAGACCCAGCUCAACGAACAACAACAAUCCUCCUCUUCAACUUGAUCUUGCAUCGCUUCAGACAGUUCUGACUGCUGCAAUGGUAGCAGCCAUGUCGCAAAUGAACUCUAGAAAUUCAGGAGGUGAUCCCCAACACCAAAACCCAGAAGAUAGCCAGGGACACCAAAAAGGGGGUUCCUAUAAAGACUUCAUGAACGCAAAACCGACAUUCUUCGAUGGCACAGGGGGUGUCAUUGCCUUAACCCGAUGGUUCGAGAGAAUCGAAUCAAUCUUUGAAAUAUGUGGCUGUUCGGAGUCUGAUAGAGUCAAGUUUGCCGCCUGUACCUUCCUAGACAAAGCCCUGACUUGGUGGAAUGGCCGAGUCAAAUCCUUAACUUUACCUGUAGCCAAUGCUAUGGGUUGGGAAGCUAUGAAGGAGCUUCUUCUCGCUGAGUAUUGCCCUCGGGGCGAACUUCAGAAGCUAGAACAUGAACUUUGGAACCUUAAGAUGAAGGGUUCCGACAUAGCUGCUUAUACCUCAAGAUUCGAUGAUUUGGCAUUACUUUAUCCGGGAAUGGUUACCCCGGAAGGUAAAAAGAUAGAGAGGUUCAUUUGGGGGUUGACCCAGCCAACAAAGGGGAAUGUCUUGGCUGCGAAGCCAGACACUUAUGACAGUGCCAAGUGCCUUGCGAAAAUCCUGAUAGAUCACGAAGACAACUCUGAUGAAGAAGCUACUACCCCCGAGCCAGUCACUAGUGGAGGCGGAAGUAAAAGGAAAUCCUGGAACAAGCGUAAGGCCCAGAGUACGCAAGGGUCUUCUAAGAAACAGCAAACGGUAGCAGUCCAUGCUGCUACUGCCCCUGUUGCUGUUUCAGCUGUAGGUUCCACAGCUCAAACUCCUGCCAGUGGAUACACUGGUACCCUUCCUUGGUGUGGUAAGUGUAACUACCACCACCGCAUUCCUGGACCAUGUCGCGAAAGGAUCUGCGACAACUGUGGCAAUAAGGGCCAUCUUGCGCGAACCUGCAGAAAACCAGCCAAACCAACGAACCAAUCAUCUGGAACGGGAAUCAGUCCGGCCUGCUACAAUUGUGGUGAAGCUGGGCACUUCAAAAGGAAUUGUCCCAAGACAGCUACAACCACAAAUCCCUCUGCUGCCGCAGGUAUAUCUCUCUUUGAUAAUUCUUAUACUUGCAACUCUUUUCGAUUUUGGGUGCAAAAAGGGAAACCUGUUAUCUAUCUAUUCGAAAGUAUUCUAAACUCAAUCCUUCGCAUGUAAUCGAAACGUGUACCGUCGAGACAACUAACUAGUGAGAUAGAGAACAUUAACUUCGUACCUGUAGAUUGAAUCCUCGGUCCGGAGGACUAUUCUAUUCCAUUCGAUUUAUAAAGGGGGAAACUUUCCAUGAAAAUACUUUGAUGCCACGUUUAACCAGAAAUGACCGAGUCUCAUUCAUAUUGUUAUCCUUACUUUCGAAAGGGUCGCUCGUCUAGAUUUCUUUCUCGACCCGGUUCUCGUGAUCUUCGGCAUCAAACUUCCGUAUCAUUUUAUACUUUAGAACUCAAAAGUUUUCCCAAUGUGAAUUAUCACGCAUCCCUCAUUUCUGUGAUUAUUGAGAAACGGGAAGUUAGCAACUAUUCCCUCUAAAUGACUAUCCCGAAGGAUUCCCGGGAGUUUCUUUCGAGCCUCUAGUUUAAUCCCACAUCAAACCUUUCGAGAUCUUCGUAGAGAUCGAUUCAGUAACCUUCAAGUUUCGGAUGCCCUUAGAGCUUGGUAAUAUCUAUCUAGACCAUCAUGUCUCGAAUCCUUAGAAGCGUCUGCCCAACGAAACCCUAAUGAUUCCUUGAAGAAACCGAAGUCGUUCAAGGUUGGAACUUCCACGAGGAAGCAGAUUGAUAUCGUAGAUUGAGAGAGAGUCAAGAAGCAAAACCAAGACAAGUCCCGAUAAUGAGAAUUCGUUAGAACGCCCAAUAGAAACCUGAUUCCACUUGAGAAAGUGAAGAUCCGAAGCAACAAAUCCAUCCGUAUCUCAUUCCAAUCCAUGACCUAUAUCUUAUUCUUUGAAUUUCGGGACGAAAUUCCCUCUAACGGGGGGAUAAUGUAACAACCCGAAGUUGUUCAUCGCCGAAAACCCGUUCUACCCGAAUAACUCGUCAGAAAUCGAAAUGUCCUGUUAUCGUUUUUGGGUUUAGUUAACUAAAAUUAUAUGUUUAUUUUCAUUCAAUGAGGGUCCAAAUCAUUUAGGAACUCAUGAAUUUAGCUCAAAACAUUUAUUUCAUAAGUUUUAGAAAUAUCCUCGUCGGGUGACGAAAACUCAAUCGGGUGCGACCCAAAGCAUCGUUUAAGGCCGGUAUCGGGUAGAAUUCCACCGUGUCCAAGUUUUAGGGACUAUAUAAACAUGUUUAAGCACUCAUUUGAAGCUUUUUCCUUCUCUCUCUACUCUCUCUCUAACCUCUCUCCUAAAUCCAAAGAUUAAGUGUCCAAAACUCAAAUUUAAGGCUUCAAAUCCUUAAGGUACCUUCCUAGCCUUAAUCUAUAGCAUGUUUAGCUUCCAAAUUAGACACUUAAUCAUGAAAUUGGACAAUAUAUGUGAGUUUACGGCCCAGGAGGCUGCCUAGGCCGUAAACACCAUUUUGAAGGGUUUUUAGCCCUUAAACUCCUUCCUUAACUCAAUUGGACUUUAGAUAUGGCUAAGGGACUUCAAGAUAUGGACUUAGAACACUUAAAACUAUGAUUUUGAGGACUUUGAAGGAGUUUACGGCCAAUGCAUAAGCUUGGGCCGUAAACUCAUAUUAAUGGGGUUUUUCAUGCCUUUAAACCCUUCCAAAUCACCUCUAUGGCUUAGAUAUGAAUUAUAGGGCCUUGGUAUUAGCAUUUGGACACUUGAAACAUNNNNNNNNNNNNNNNNNNNNNNNNNNNNNNNNNNNNNNNNNNNNNNNNNNNNNNNNNNNNNNNNNNNNNNNNNNNNNNNNNNNNNNNNNNNNNNNNNNNNNNNNNNNNNNNNNNNNNNNNNNNNNNNNNNNNNNNNNNNNNNNNNNNNNNNNNNNNNNNNNNNNNNNNNNNNNNNNNNNNNNNNNNNNNNNNNNNNNNNNNNNNNNNNNNNNNNNNNNNNNNNNNNNNNNNNNNNNNNNNNNNNNNNNNNNNNNNNNNNNNNNNNNNNNNNNNNNNNNNNNNNNNNNNNNNNNNNNNNNNNNNNNNNNNNNNNNNNNNNNNNNNNNNNNNNNNNNNNNNNNNNNNNNNNNNNNNNNNNNNNNNNNNNNNNNNNNNNNNNNNNNNNNNNNNNNNNNNNNNNNNNNNNNNNNNNNNNNNNNNNNNNNNNNNNNNNNNNNNNNNNNNNNNNNNNNNNNNNNNNNNNNNNNNNNNNNNNNNNNNNNNNNNNNNNNNNNNNNNNNNNNNNNNNNNNNNNNNNNNNNNNNNNNNNNNNNNNNNNNNNNNNNNNNNNNNNNNNNNNNNNNNNNNNNNNNNNNNNNNNNNNNNNNNNNNNNNNNNNNNNNNNNNNNNNNNNNNNNNNNNNNNNNNNNNNNNNNNNNNNNNNNNNNNNNNNNNNNNNNNNNNNNNNNNNNNNNNNNNNNNNNNNNNNNNNNNNNNNNNNNNNNNNNNNNNNNNNNNNNNNNNNNNNNNNNNNNNNNNNNNNNNNNNNNNNNNNNNNNNNNNNNNNNNNNNNNNNNNNNNNNNNNNNNNNNNNNNNNNNNNNNNNNNNNNNNNNNNNNNNNNNNNNNNNNNNNNNNNNNNNNNNNNNNNNNNNNNNNNNNNNNNNNNNNNNNNNNNNNNNNNNNNNNNNNNNNNNNNNNNNNNNNNNNNNNNNNNNNNNNNNNNNNNNNNNNNNNNNNNNNNNNNNNNNNNNNNNNNNNNNNNNNNNNNNNNNNNNNNNNNNNNNNNNNNNNNNNNNNNNNNNNNNNNNNNNNNNNNNNNNNNNNNNNNNNNNNNNNNNNNNNNNNNNNNNNNNNNNNNNNNNNNNNNNNNNNNNNNNNNNNNNNNNNNNNNNNNNNNNNNNNNNNNNNNNNNNNNNNNNNNNNNNNNNNNNNNNNNNNNNNNNNNNNNNNNNNNNNNNNNNNNNNNNNNNNNNNNNNNNNNNNNNNNNNNNNNNNNNNNNNNNNNNNNNNNNNNNNNNNNNNNNNNNNNNNNNNNNNNNNNNNNNNNNNNNNNNNNNNNNNNNNNNNNNNNNNNNNNNNNNNNNNNNNNNNNNNNNNNNNNNNNNNNNNNNNNNNNNNNNNNNNNNNNNNNNNNNNNNNNNNNNNNNNNNNNNNNNNNNNNNNNNNNNNNNNNNNNNNNNNNNNNNNNNNNNNNNNNNNNNNNNNNNNNNNNNNNNNNNNNNNNNNNNNNNNNNNNNNNNNNNNNNNNNNNNNNNNNNNNNNNNNNNNNNNNNNNNNNNNNNNNNNNNNNNNNNNNNNNNNNNNNNNNNNNNNNNNNNNNNNNNNNNNNNNNNNNNNNNNNNNNNNNNNNNNNNNNNNNNNNNNNNNNNNNNNNNNNNNNNNNNNNNNNNNNNNNNNNNNNNNNNNNNNNNNNNNNNNNNNNNNNNNNNNNNNNNNNNNNNNNNNNNNNNNNNNNNNNNNNNNNNNNNNNNNNNNNNNNNNNNNNNNNNNNNNNNNAGCUAGAUUUUGUUUAGAAUCUAUAUCUUGUUCGGGAUGGUAAUCCCAUGGUCUUGUAAUCUAUAUCUCGUUCGGGAUGGUAAUCCCAUGGUUUUAUGUCUAUAUCUCGUUCGGGAUGAUAAUCCCAUGAUCUUGUGUCUAUAUUUCGUUCGGGAUGGCAAUCCCAUGGUUUUGAAACUAAAUCUUAUACGGGAUGAUAAUCCCAUGAUUUUAUCAAUCUAUCAUAUAUCUAGUUUCGGGAUAGUGAUCCCAUGGUUUAUCGAGCUAUCUUAUAUCUACUUUCGGGAUAGUGAUCCCAUGGUUUUUAUCGAAUUACCUUAUAACUGGUUCGGGAUGUAGUCCCAAGGUUUUCAAAAUGCUUUCUAUUUACAGUUCAUCUAAAUUAUAGUUUUGUGUAUUAAACUAUACUAUGUGUUAUCCAAUCAAUCUUACAAUUAGGAAAAUAUGGGAUUUUCCUGGGGUUAACUUAUAACUUGUAACAGAACUGUAACGAAAGAUAACUUAACUACUUUACAUAAGAAAAUAUGGGAUUUUCUUGGAUAUCAAAUCUUUUCAGAAAACUAAAGGAAAUCGAUACAUUUUCACAAAACAAAACCGCUUAUGAACUCACCAGCUUUAUGCUGAUUUUCAAACUGCUUGUAUUCUCAGGUCCAAGUUAGACAGGUACCCGGCGAUAUCUUUUGGUGAAGAUGGAGUGCUCCGAAGACUCGUCUCUUUUGUUCAUAUGAUAUAUGUAUAACUUUUGUACAAUUUACUUUUGAACCAAAUGUAAACUUUCACAUAUAUGUAAUGUAAUGGUUGUUUACUGUGAUUACUAUGUACAUUGGAUUUGAUACACAACAUGGAGUCAACCCCGGGAACGUUUCCGCCUUUGGUUUUCGGGGUGUGACAGCAACAGCCACGAAUAAGAUGGAAAUAAGUUUUAGUAGUGUUGCUUCUGUUAGUAGUAGAUAAAGAAGAAAAUUUAACUAAGUAACAACAUAAGAAAUAAAAAUGAAUGUAAAAUCAAGGCCCAAGCUUCAAUUGCACAUGUUAGUGAAUUGUGAAUUAAAUAACAAAAUGCCCAAAUGCAUAUUGGAUUAUUGAAGUUAAAAUCGGAGAUAUGAUGUUGGCAUCUUGCUUUUUAACGAUUUGGUAGAGUUAGAAAAUAGUAUUUUAGAUGGAUAAAUAACAAAAAUAUAGUCCAUUAACAUAAUUACAAAAAAUAUAUAACACUUUAUUUUCUAUAAAGAAAUAUAUUAAAUUGCUUGUAAUGAGAAAUAAUGAAUUACAAAACGAUAUUUUAAAAUAAGAUUAUUGAAAUUAAAAGUAAAUUAACUAAUUAAAGAUUUAAAGCAUUAAUAUAAAAAAAUGAAACCACGAUGUUAUAAUUCACAAAACUGUAAAAACUUGUUUAAACAUAUCAUUUGAUGAUCAAUUAGUAAAUUUAGUAUAUUUAUCUAAAAUUAAUAAUUUAAAUUAUUCAAUACAGUUAAUUUUGGAUAAUGCAAUAUACAACUGUUUGUACGUAAAAAUGUUUCCUGAUAGUUGAUAUUUGAAUAAAAAAAAUGGUAUUGUGUUAUAAAUAAGAUUAAUAUAAUAUAUUUAAAAAAGAGUUUAUUACUUCUAUAUAACUUAAUAGAUUAAGUUAAUAACAUAAAAACAAUAUUUAUAUAAAAUGAAUAUUCAAAACUGAAUGAUACAUAGUAACUUAAAUUGACAAAUAUAAAAAAAAUGAGACAUAACAUUUGAGAUACAUAUAAAGUAAAAUUUACAUUUGCAUUAAAAAUAUAGUAAGGAUUUUGCAUUGUUAGAAAGUUGGUUUUAGUUGAUAUCUGGAAUGGUUUUUUAUGCCUAGAGAUUUCACUUUAAAAAAGUAAAAAAUCAAAAAAAAAAAAAAAUAAAUAAGUUAGCUUUUAAGAUAUAUUUGACUUGUUAAAUAUAUCGUAACUUGCUUACAUUUUGAAACGUCAUUGCAUUUGUAGAAUUUAGAACUUAUGGCAAAUGAAAUAUAGUUUAAUAUGUAAAAUUACGACAAUAAAAAACUCAAUAUGCAUCAGACAUCUUAAAUUAUUUAAAAGGCGUGUAAAUUUAUUUAUGAAAAUAGUAAUGGGACCUGAUAACAAAGCUUGUCUAGAUAUAAAUCAUAGAAAGCACUCUCAAUGUCAUUACUGCUUCUCACUUCUUUGGUAGCAUUCCUAACUAAUAUGGAAAAAAUCAAUUCCAGAUUUGCAAGACUAAGAAUGAAAAGUACAAUGCUAUAUUGCUUAAAAUUUUGCAAUGUGCAAUGUAUUUGAUGAGAAAAUGAUUGACAGUACAAUCCUAAAAUUCUUGAAACUCAAAAUCCAAUUAAAAACAAAAAAAUUUAUUGUCAUAGAUUCCGAAAUCAAACAAUUACAUGAAAUUAAUUUUUACUUUUGUUUCAUAGAUUUAUUAGGCUUGGCAGUUAUGUUCUUUACUUAAAGUAUGAUAAAUUAUGACAAGAUUGGUUAAGAAUUAUGUUUUUAUUGUAUAAUAGAUUACUUUUUGCUUCAGUGUACAACAUCUAAUAUGAAUAUAUACCAUAAAACUAUCCAUCUAAAAUACGUUUUUUUAACUUUACCAAACAGUUAAAAAACAUGUUACCAACAUCAUAUCUCUGAUUUCAACUUCAAUAAUCCAAUACGCAUUUGGUCAUUUUUAUUUAAUUCACAGUUCAAUAACAUGUAUAAUUUUACCUUGGGCCUUAAUUUUUCCUUCCAUUUCUUUUGUCAUGUUGCUGCUUUGUUAAACUUUCGUCCUUAUCUACUACUAACAGAAGCAGUACUAUCAAAACUUUUUUCCUUCUUAUUCGUGGUUGUUGCUUUUUCCCUUUUCAUUUGGUAUUCACACCUUUAUAUCGGAAUAUUUUUAUAUCAAUAAUAUGUGAAAUAUGUAUGAUUGAAUGAUCGCCAUGAUAAUUGCAUGUACAUUAGUUUCAACAUCAUCAUUAGCAUCAUGAUCAGUGCAUCUAAAGAUUAUUAAUAUCCCAAAGUUGCUACUUUUACUUAUAAAUAACUAGCCAUGUAGAUAAUACAUUGAAACUUGGUAAAUAACUUAAUAAGCGAGGCCUCUGUUGAAAAUCAAUAUUUCUAUUUUAACUUAUGACGAUAAACACCAUUCAAAAAAUCCAAUGAUGUGGUUAUAUAAGGGUCAAUUAAAAAUAAAACUUGGUAAAUGACAGCUAAGAAGCCUACCCACAAUUGCGAUGACAUACCAAUUUGUUAACCAUGACCCAAGCAUGAUAACUGGUUAUGAAACAUAAAAAACUUCUUAAAGUUGACAACAUAUGGCUAAAAUAAACAAAUAAAUUAAUAAACUUUGUUAUUUCUUGCAAUUAACCACAAAAGAAAAAAAAAUCAAAGUGUCGUGACCUUUGAUAGAUCACGGUGAAAGACAUGGGAUAAAUAUUAACCGGGCUCCACCCUAUAACUCACAGUAGUCCCUUCCAACGACGGUAUGGUGGUUUACCCAAACAUAAAUAUUAAAAAGUAUGAUAAGGCAAUAUUAUUUAUUAUGGUAGAAGUGUACUUGCAUGAGUUUUCCACGGGAAUAGUUUAUAACUAUUAAUCCAUUAUUUGAUGGUUUACGGAAUAUAUAUUUCUUACAAGUGGAUAUUAACACAAUUAUAAUUUAAUCAUGGCAACAUCACUGAGAUGAAGGCCCUGCUUCGCAUGAACCUGAAGCAAAAGCUAGUUCUUGGCAAAGUUGUAAGCAAUCGAUGCUGAUUGCGUCACACCUUCCAAAACACGUCGGUCCAAGAGCUGUAUGGAUGGAAACUCAAAAUAGAUGUUUUAAUUAAGUCAUGCUUUAUCAAAAAAAUUUCUAAAUUACCCGGACAAAGAGGAAUGAGGUCAUUCCUAAAAUCGGAAUACAUGUCAUGAAAAUAAACCACAACACAAAAACCAUCACGACAAGAGAAUUUUUUGUUGUGUAGGCCAUUUAUUUGACAAACAAUAUUGCUUGAUUUUUAUUGUAAGAAUAGAAUUAAAAAAACGAUCUUAGUUUAUGUAGAAUUAGAACUCCUUACAUAGUCAUUCAAGUGAAGCAUAAACUUGUCAGCAUCGUUCAAUUUGAGCAUAACAGUUUGUUAGCACCAUUAAUUAAGAUCUUGAAAUUUUAUUAUUAAUGUAUGUUCGUAUUUAAAUUAAAUUAGUAUAUAAACUAAAGAGGUUAUGUUACGUUUGAUAUCAAUUUAAGUCUAUGUGACAUCAUUAGAUUCAAACACAACAUAACCUCUUCUAUUUACAUGCUAAUUUAAUUUCAAUAUGAACAUACAUUAAUAAGAAAAUUUAAAGAUGGUAAUUAAUGGUGCUAACUAACUACUAUGCUCAACUUAAAUGGUGCUAAAGAGUGUUAUGCUUCAGUUGAACGACUAUUUAAGGAGUGGUAAUCCAACAUAAAGUAUGAUCCUUUCUUAAUUGUAUUCAUACAAUAAAAAUCAAGAAGUAUUGUUCCUCAAGCCAAUGGCCUACACAAAGAAAAGUUCUUUUGUCGUGAUGGUUUUGGUGUUGUAUAUUUGCAUGAUAUGUGUUCCGAUUUUAGGUAUGACAUCAUUCCUCUAUUUUUGGGUAUUUUAGAAAAAUUUACCAUAAAGCAUGAUAUAAUUAAAACAUCUAUAUUGAAUUUUCAUCUAUACAGCUCUUGGCCCAGCAUGUUUUGGACGGUGUGAUGCAAUCAGCAUUGAUUGCUUACAGCUUUGCCAAGAACUAGCUUUUGCUACAGGUUCAUGCGAAGCAUGGCCUUCAUCUCAGUGUUGUUGCCAUGAUUAAAUUACUAUUGUGUUAAUAUCCACUUGUAAGGACUAUAUAUUCCGUAAACCAUCAAAUAAUGGGUUAAUAAUGAUUAAAUAUUUUAGUGGUAUAUUGAUGUUACGUUAAACUACAUGAUAAUCCCAUAAAGCUAUUAAAAAAAUUUAGUUUACUAAUGUUCGUUCAUUUAUUUGAAUGUGUAACUAAUAAACAAAUAUACAUCACCCAAAAAUUUCAUAAGAUACUACAUAGCCGAAGCCACUUUUAAUAACUCUGAAGAUCACUUUGUAACCUUCAAUGUUAUUUUUUAUAAAAGGGAAACAAUAAAGAUAUAAUAAAGUCCUUUAAUGGGGUAUUCCAAGAUGUUACAUCUCUAUGCAACGUCUUUGUCAAUUUCAUACUUUCACAUUACUACUACUAUUUAUGUAAUAUAUUCUUUUUCCAUUUUUAAAUUUAGGUUUGGGUAAACCUUGGCAUUAGUGAGUCCCCUAUGGCAUGUAAGUAGACGUCUACCAUACUAAAUAGUAUGGUUUUAUCUUACUUUUUUAAUUUUAUUUAUGGGUAAGCCACUGUUGCCUAAGGAAUCUUUGGACACCGUCGCCGGAAAGGACUAUUGUUAGUUAUAGGGUGAAGCCCGUUGACAUUUAUCCCGGAUCUGACACGUUAUCUAUCAAAGGUUACAACAGUUCGAUAUUUUUUUUUUGGAAUUAGUUCAUAGAAAUAGCAAAGGCCUUCAUUUAUUUUUUUAUAUAGCCAUAUCUUGUCAACUUUGACAAUCUUUUUCUGUUUCAUAAUACUACGUUGUUUGGGUCAUGGUUAACAAAUUCGUAUCUCAUUGCAAUUGUGGUUAAGCUUUUUAGCCGUCAAUUACCAACUUUAACGUUUAAAUUGACCUUGCUAUGACCAUAUCAUUGGAUUUUUAGAAUGUCAUUUAUAGUUAUGAGAUAAAAGAAGAAAUAUUGAUAUUCAAAAUCGGCCUCACCUAUUUAGUCAUUUACCAAAUUUUAGUGUAUUAUCUGCAUGGCUAGUUAUUUAAGAGUAAAAGUAUCAUUUUUUAUCCAAUUACUAAAAAAUAGAUUGAUUUGGGUUAUAUUUUAGGGUUAAGUACAAGAAAGAGCCAUGUAUAUUUAUUAAUUUGUGAUAUUAAUAGCCUAUAGAUGCACUAAUCAUGAUGCUAAUGAAGAUGUUGAAGUCAAUGUACAUACAUUUACGAUAGUGAUGUUUCAAUCAUACAUAUUUCACAUAUUACUGAUAUAAAAAUAUUAUGAUAUGAAGGUGUGAACACCAAAUGAAAAAGGAAAAAAGCAACAGCCACGAAUAAGAUGGGAAUAAGUUUCAAUAGUGCUGCUUCUGUUAGUAGUAGAUAAAGAAGAAGAUUUAACUAAGUAACAACAUGAGAAAUAAAAAUGAAUGUAAAAUCAAAGCCUAAGCUUCAAAUGCACAUGUUAGAGAAUUGUGAAUAAAAUAAAAAAAAAUGCUCAAAUGCAUAUUGGAUUAUUGAAGUUAAAAUCGGAGAUAUGAUGUUGGCAACUUGUUUUUUAACCAUUUGGUAGAGUUAAAAAUAGUAUUUUAGAUGGAUAAAUAACAAAAAUAUAGUCCAUUAACAUAAUUACAAAAAAUAUAUAACACUUUAUGUUCUAUAAAGAAAUAUAUUAAAUUGCUUGUAAUGAGAAAUAAUGAAUUACAAAACGAUAUUUUAAAAUAAGAUUAUUGAAAUUGAAAGUAAAUUAACUAAUUAAAGAUUUAAAGCAUUAAUAUAAAAAAUGAAACCACGAUGUUAUAAUUCACAAAACUGUAAAAACUUGUUUAAACCUAUCAUUUGAUAAUCAAUUAGUAAAUUUAGUAUAUUUAUCUAAAAUUAAUAAUUUAAAUUUUUCAAUACAGUUAAUUUUGGAUAAUGCAAUAUACAACUGUUUGUACGUAAAAAUGUUUCCUGAUAGUUGAUAUUUGAAUAAAAAAAUGGUCUUGUGUUAUAAAUAAGAUUAUUAUAAUAUAUUUAAAAAAGAGUUUAUUACUUCUAUAUCACUUAAUAGAUUAUGUUAAUAAGAUAAAACAAUAUUUAUAUAAAAUGAAUAUUCAAAACUGAAUGAUACAUUGUAACUUAAAUUGACAAAUAAAAAAAAUGAGACAUAACAUUUUGAGAUACAUAUUCAAGUCAACUUUACAUUUGCAUUAAAAAUUUUGUAAGAAUUUUGCAAUGUCAGAAAGUUGGUUUUAGUUGAUAUCUGGAAUGGUUUUUUAUGCCUAGAGGUUACACUUUAAAAUAGUAAAAAAUCAAAAAAGUAAGUUAGUUUAUAAGAUAUAUGUGACUUGUUAAAUAUAACCUAACUUGCUUACAUUUUGAAACGUCAUCACAUUUGUAGAAUUUAAAACUUAUGGCAAAUGAAAUAUAGUUUAAUAUGUAAAAUUAUGUCAAUAAAAAACUCAAUAUGCGUCAGGCAUCUUAAAUUAUUUAAAAGACGUGUAAAUUUAUUUAUGAAAAUAGUAAUGGGAUCUGAUAACAAAGCUUGUCUAGAUAUAAAUCAUAAAAAGCACUCUUAAUGUCAUUACUUCUUCUCACUUCUUUGGUUGCAUUCCUAACUAAUAUGGAAAAAAUCCAUUAUAGAUUUGCAAGACUAAGAAUGAAAAGUACAAUUCUAUAUUUCUUUAAAUUUUGCAAAGUGCAAUGUACUUGUGACAACUUGGCACUUUUGCACUGAGAAAUCGAUCCAUAUACCUAUAAUUCACUUGAAUUUAGCAUCUUUUAAUAGUAUAUGGAGUCCGCACUAGUGUUUUAGGCUUAAUAUGUCAUAGACAUGGACCUUAGGAAGGAUUAAGAAGGUUGUUGCAUCACAAAAUCCAGCAACACACACCAAGAGAGGUGUGUGCGGUCGCACACUAGUGCGUACAGCCAAGCCAGCCGCACACCUGGCAGCAAACCCCUCCAGCCUCACACUCAACCCUAUAUAAAGUGGAGGACCCCCUUCCAUUCACUUUUGGCUGCAUCCUUUCUCUCUCUAUACUUUCUCUCUCUAGAAAACCACACAAAAACACCUAGAAGGCUCCCAAAACGUGAAGAACACCAUCAUUUAGCUUGUUAUAGAGGUAUAACACUUGAAUCCAAGACUAAAACUCAUAAUGUUCUUCAUGUUCUUCAUCCUAGGAAGGACUGCGGCCGCACACCUUCAUCAGGUGGCAGCACACACUCAUAAUACCCUCCAAAGUUAGAGUAAGGCCACAAAAUCGACACAUGGGAUUCAAGCAAGGAGUGUACGGACGCACACCCCUGUGUACGGCCGCACACACGCCCUGUACGGCCGCACACUCUAGUGUGCAACCUCACUCACAAGUCUGGCCGCAUACCCAGUCGCGCACUCACCUUUAUGGCCAUACACGCACCCUAAUACUCAUAAUUGGCCUUAAACUUGCAUAGAUCAUUGGGUAUAGAACAUGGGACACUUAGUCUUAGUGAUCCUAAGCCCUUAGGAGGAAUUUCCCAUCAUGUUUGGUCAUAAAACACCUUAACCCUAACUUAUAUAUGUGUCAACAUAUAAUUAAUAGGGGCUACAUACGUUCAGAGCAUCCGUUGACACUCGACACUCAUACGAAUCGCAUACUCGAACCCUACAAUAAAAGGUGAGUUCAUACCCCUUAAUGAACCUUUUUAAAUGUUUUUUACAUGUUUUAGGGGGGGGGGGAUACAAGUAAAAUUCUACAUGUUUUUAUUAUCAAAUCAUAUGUGAUUUACCAAUUAUCAUCAAAAAUGGAUUUUCUACACUUUUAGCUGCUUACUAAUAAAAUUGUUUUAGUUGACUAUCAAAUACAUUUUUGGAUUUAAAUUGUUGUUAAACUAUUUUCAAAAGUAUGUUUAAACUACAUUUCUUUUCUUUAAAAAUAUAUCUACUUUAAUAUAUUUAUAUAAGUAAGACUUGAAGAACUUAGGACCGAUAGCUCGCCUUAUUUCAUGUUCUUGUUUGAUGUGGUCUUGAGGUGUCUGUUGUCCGUUCGAUUGUCGUUGAAUUCUUAGUUAUAUAUCAUAUAUAUUUGUGAUAGAUAUGAAAGUUUUCAUCUUACCCGCUACCUUUACUAUUCAAAGGCAUGAAAUCAUACACUCUAGUUAACUAUAAUAGGUAUAGUUAAGACUACUGCUCGUUACCUCUACUACUACUAUACUCACUAUAACUGCUAUUAUUACAAGUUAAUACACGUAUAAGAGAACUCUCUAUUAACUAUACAAAAAGACUACUAUACUAUAAUACAAGAGAAUACACUAAUUCAGAGUAUAACACACUAUCCCUCUAUAAGACACUCUACUGCGCUUACACCAUGUGACCAGGGCUUUCCGGAAGGAAGGCAGCACUACACGUAUAGAUCUAUAUGGGGCAGACACUAUUACAUCCCGACUGUUAACUACAGUCCGAGCCGACUAGGCCCAGGGGUGGCACUACAUCACUACACUACACAUGACCGGGAAGGUCAUCGGGUUCUCUAUUAUCAUCCAGCCUGGUUAGAUGAGGGUUACACCUUUAUUUUAAUUAAUACACUAUGACUAAAGUCUAAGCUAACAUCCCGAAGUAUGUAAGUAUCUAUUACUAAUGGAAGUUUGCACCACUACUACUGCCAACAGGCAUAAUUUUUCUUUAUCUAUGUUACUCACAUGAGAUUUAUUACCAUACUUUUACAACUAAAGAUUUUCAAUGAUAAUACCUACACACAACUCAUAGGAUUUAACUUACAUAGUACUUUUCUGGAAAAUAUAGGAUUUUCUAGGGAUUUCUAAUACUUAUAAACAUAAAUUUCAGUUUUUAUACUAUAUGUUUGUUAACACUUUUUAUACUACAACGACACUAAAUUCUUAUUAACUCACCAGCUUUAUGCUGAUACUCGUUUUCAAAAUAACUUGUAUCCUCAGGUCAAAGAUAGACAGGUACAGGUGCAGCUUUUGGAGAAGAUGGACCACAUACAAGACCCAUCUUUUAUUUUGUUAUACUUUUGGUGUCUAUAAACUUUACAGAACACGUUUUGUAAUUAAAUUACUAUAUAUAUGCAGUGGUUGUUGUCACUUUUUUUUUACUAUUAUGCAAUUGUUAUGAUACUGUACAUGACGUCCUCCAUCCCAGAACGUAUUCCGCCAUUUUUGGUUUUGGGGUGUGACAGACUGGUAUCAGAGCCAGGUUUAUAGUGAAUCAAGUAUAUCAACCUACAAAAGAUAUACGAACUAUAAACACUUCGGGACUAAAACACUCUGACCAAGAAUAUAUACUAAAAGACUUAACUAAGUGUACANAUAUAUAUAUAUAUAUAUAUAUAUAUAUAUAUAUAUAUAUACAUACAUACAUUCACCACUACAAAAGGGUCAGUAUCAUACUAGAAUAAAACAAAAGUAUUAAGAUUGUUGAACAGCACAAUUAAGCUUAGAAACAUAUAGUCACAUCUGGGGGGAUGUAGCCUGAUCAACUAAAUUUAUCCAGGAGUGACUAGCAUGUGCCUAAGAGUGAUUGUGGUGUUGCAAGAAGUCUAAAAAAACUUACCAACGCUACCACAAGAACGUUAGAACAAGAAUACUAUAGGAAUAUUUUUCAUUCUACUAACUUUGUAUGUGAUAAAUAAAAAGGGUCGUUACUGGUUGGACAAUGGUUGCUAAGUGGAUACACCAUGGUUAUAUGUAACUAGGGCAUUAUAAACUCAAAAGUACGGCUAUUAACCAUUCUCCCCCCUUCUUGCGUAGAUAGCAUGGUUGGCUUCCACUACCCCGGCGAUCCGUAUUAUCCGAACCAGGGCAAUGGAGGAUGGCUCUAUGAGGAGCCAAAAGAUGAUCACCCGAUCCCUUUGGAUGAUCAUCGCGCAGAAGGCUUUUCGAAUAGCUCCAGCUUCGAGCCAGAAGUCAACAACCUACCCCCUGUAGCUCCAAACCCCAACCCCCGUCCGGUAUUUCUAGGUCCCACUCCCAUGUGGGCAAUAACCUUGAACCGAUGGAGCCAGGAGAAGGGUCAGCCUUUACCUUACAAUGGAGACCGAAGCUUCUACAACAUAAGCGAGGGAGGAUCAGCGGACCGAGUUCUGCCCAUCAUGGUCCAAAGGAUUGCCAGGAACGUCGAGCAAGGUCAAGCAGCCAUUGGCCGAGAUGUAGAAGUGGAUGCCAACUCUAACCUCAACACUCUUCGCAUUUGUCAACUGGAAGAAGCCAUGGAUAGGACGAAGAGGACCAAUGAGGCUCUGCAGCAACAGCUAACUGCAUCCCGAGCCGAAGUUAGGGAACUCCGAGCACGUCAGUGGGCUCAUGAACGACAUCUUCAGGAAGUUAUGCAUCAACUAGCAGACCUGAGGGUUCGCCCAAUGGGGACCCGUCGCAAGUAGAAGACGUCGAAACACCUCGCUCUUUUGUUUAAGGACUAGCCUUUUCUUUUCUGUGCUCAGUAGAGCACUUGUCUGUAAACAUUUCCUAACUAUGAAAAUACCCUAACUGAACUCCUAGGUUGCCAACGUUUUCCCUUAUGGUUUGAUGUAAGACCUACUACUAGGUCAUUUUUCCUGAACUCAUUUUACAUCAUGAAUACCAGUAAUAUUGGCAGUUAACUAUUCUAUUGCUAUGAUUCUCUCUCUGAUUAUUGGUCUAUGUUGAUUAAGUCCAUGACACCCUCUUAUCAUACUUGCAAUAGACUCUCUUACUAUUGUCAACAUCUCUAUGAACUUUCAGUAAAAGAUGCCUCCUCGCAAGUGCCCGAGCAGAGGCAGACCAGCGACUCAAGCCCCACCUCCACCACCUCCUCCUCCGUAGUUCGAUCCGGUGCUGUUCCAAACAGCUAUAACCGCAGCUGUGACGGCAGCCAUGGACCAAAUGAAUUCUGGCGAUGCUAGUGGAGCCAGAAUGGGCACCAACUCGAGACAUGGUGAAAUUCCCUCUUGUACACCAAGGUGUACUUAUAAAGAUUUCAUGAACUGUAAGCCCACAUUUUUGAAUGGGACCGGAGGAAUCCUAGCUCUGUCCUAAUGGAUCGAAAGAGACCGAAGCUGUUUUCGAAAUGUGCUCAUGCCCCGAAGAAAGCAAAAUCAAGUUCGCUGCUGCCACCUUCACUGAAAGGGCCCUGACAUGGUGGAAUGGCCAUGUCAACUCACUCUCUUUAGUAACAGCUAAUGCCAUGGGCUGGGACAUACUAAAGGAAGUGUUGAGAAAGGAGUAUUGCCCUAGAGGGGCGGUUCAGAAGCUUGAAGAGGAACUUUGGAACCUCAAGAUGAAGGGAACAGACAUAGUGGCUUAUACGGCUAGGUUCUGCGACCUGGUAGCUAUGUGCCCAGACAUGAUUCCUUCUGAAAGAAAGAAAAUCGAACGAUACAUCUAGAGUUUAGUACCCACGUAUCAAGGAAAUGUUCUAUCUUCCCAUCCUGCAACCUUUGACAGCGCCAAGGAGUUGGCCCACAAGUUAAUUGAUCAUGAAACUUCUUCCACUCUAGCUACAGCAACCAUAACUGCCACUGCACCGCCCAAGACAACCGACAAAAAGAGGAAGCAUUGGGAUNNNNNNNNNNNNNNNNNNNNNNNNNNNNNNNNNNNNNNNNNNNNNNNNNNNNNNNNNNNNNNNNNNNNNNNNNNNNNNNNNNNNNNNNNNNNNNNNNNNNNNNNNNNNNNNNNNNNNNNNNNNNNNCAACGCCCCCCCCCCCCCCCACGGCCCCCUGCCGUGAAUUGCAAUGCACCAACUGCAGCCGGAAGGGCCAUACUGUCCGGUUUUGCAAAUCCGAACCCAAACCUAUCUCGCAAGUCCCCAGUUCGGGAGUGACCCAGACCUUUUAUGGUUGCGGUGAAGCUGGCCAUUUCAAUAAAAAGUGUGUGAAGGCUGGGAAUGCGGGAGGAACAGGAAGACUAGUCGCUAUUGGUCACAACGAAGCAGUAGCGGGUCCCACAGUGGUCACGGGUACGUUCCUACUCAACAACUAUUACGCCUGUGUCUUAUUCGAUAGUGGUGCAGAAACAAGCUUCAUAAACCAAAACUUUAAACACUCACUUAAACAAUCCCCACAACCACUAAAAGAAACAUUUGUCGUAGAAAUGGCUAACGGAAAGACCGAAAGCUCUAAUGAAAUUGACAUAGGUUGUACCCUCACGUUAGACGAUCAUUCUUUCCCAAUCGAUCUCAUACCAGUCUCGAUCAAGAGUUUCGAUGUCCUUGUUGGCAUGGAUUGGUUGAGUCUUCAUCGCGCUAAUAUUCUAUGCUUCGACAAAGCCAUUCGCCUAAAUCCACCGAAUCAUGAAACUUUGUUGAUCUAUGGAGAUAAACCUGGUACGAGCCUUCGUAUCAUCUCAAAUAUUCAAGCCCAAAAAUAUUUGCGUAAGGAAUAUCGCGCCUUCCUUACACACGUCGUCGACACAAGCCAGAAAGCGAGAGAUCCAAAAGACAUCCCUGUUGUAUGCGAUUUCCCUGACGUCUUUCCAGAGGACCUUCCAGGUUUACCUCCCAAACGUCAGGUUGAGUUCAGAAUCGACCUAGUCCCAGGAGCUACCCCCGUAGCUAAGUCGCCCAUUCAUUUAGCGCCUGCAGAUAUGCAAGAACUAUCCGGCCAACUUAACGAGCUGCUCAGCAAGGGCUUUAUAAUACCAAGCUUCUCACCUUGGGGAGCUCCAGUCUUGUUCGUAAAGAAGAAGGACGGAUCAUUCCGUAUGUGCAUCAAUUAUAGGGAACUCAACAAACUCACGGUCAAAAAUCGCUACCCUCUUCUCCGUAUAGAUGACCUAUUUGACCAACUACAAGGGGCAAGUUACUUUUCCAAGAUUGAUCUUAGGUCCGGGUAUCACCAGUUACGAGUGCUUGAGGAGGAUGUUCCGAAGACAGCCUUCUGAACUCGUUACGGACACUACGAGUUCGUAGUGAUGCCCUUUUGGACUGACUAACGCACCCACAGUGUUCAUGGACUUGAUGAAUAGGGUGUGUCGUCCAUACUUAGAUCAGUUCGUCAUCAUCUUUAUUGAUGAUAUACUCGUCUACUCAAGGAGUGCGCAAGAACACAGGAACCAUCUACAACGAGUCCUAGAAAACCUACGAUCGGAGAAGUUAUACGCGAAGUUCUCUAAGUGCGAAUUUUGGAUCCGAAGAGUUGAAUUCUUAGGACACGUGGUUAGUGAGGAAGCAAUCCACGUGGACCCAUCCAAGAUUAAAGCUAUCGAGAACUGGUCAGCACCGAAGACGCCUACAGAAAUUCGUCAAUUUCUGGGCCUCGCUGGUUACUACCGCAGAUUCAUUAAGAACCUCUCUCGGAUUGUGAAACCUCUUACCACAUUGACACAGAAAAGUGUAACAUUUGACUGGGAAGAGAAACAGGAGAAGGCAUUCCAGACCCUGAAGCGAGCUCUAUGCACCGCACCGGUAUUAUCCCUUUCCCGAAGGGAUAGAAGAUUUUGUGGUAUACUACGAUGCAUCGAACCAAGGGCUGGGUUGUGUCUUGAUGCAACGAGGUAUGGUCAUCGCCUAUGCCGCAAGACAGCUGAAGACACACGAGGUUAAAUACACCACUCACGACCUCGAGUUAGGGGCGGUUGUAUUCGCUCUAAAGAUCUGGAGACAUUACUUGUAUGGAACGAAGAGCAAAAUAUACACUGAUCAUAAAAGCCUCCAACACAUACUGAACCAGAAGGAGCUCCAACAUGAGACGACGAUGGUGGGUCGAACUACUCAACGAUUACGACAGCAAGAUUCGUUAUCACCCGGGGAAAGCUAAUGUAGUAGCAGACACCCUAAGUAGAAAAGAGUAUUCCAGUCGAAGAGUCAAGUCAUUAACAAUGACUAUCCAUUAGCACCUAUCCGCACAGAUUAAGGAGGCUCAGCUCGAAGCCUUAAAGCCUGAAAAUGUGGCGGGAGAAUCCCUGCGUGGAAUGGACAAGAACAUGGAAGUCAAGGGUGACGGAGCCUAUUAUCUUAUGGACCGAAUUUGGACUCCGCGCCACGGUGGUUUUAGAGACUUCGUCAUGUAGUAAGCACGCAACACUCGAUACUCAGUUCACCCAGGUUCAGAUAAGAUGUAUCUGGAUCUCAAAAAGCUAUACUAGUGGCCUAGCAUGAAAGCGGAGAUUGCUACUUUCGUGAGUAAGUGCCUAACUUGUGCAGAGGUCAAGGUCGAAUACCAGAAGCCAUCAGGUCUCCUCCAACAACCGGAGAUACAGGAGUGGAAGCGGGAGCGGAUCACCGUGGAUUUUGUAACUAAGCUACCCAAGACAACGGGUGGGCUGGAUACCAUGUGGGUCAUCGUCGAUAGACUGACCAAGUCCGCACACUUCCUACCCAUCAAAGAAACAGACAAGAUGGAGAAACUCACAAGAACCUACAAUAAGGAAAUAAUACGACUAAAUGGCGUCCAUGUAUCUAUUAUCUCUAAUAGAGAUAGUAGGUUCACUUUGAGAUUUUGGCAAUCACUGCAAAAAGCUUUAGGGACGAGGCUAGACAUGAGUACAGCCUACCACCCGCAGACUGACGGACAAAGUGAAAGGACGAUCCAAACCAUAGAGGAUAUACUACGAGCCUAUGUGAUUGACUUUGGUAAAGCAUGGGAUACACACUUACCCCUUGUGGAGUUUUCCUAUAACAAUAGUUAUCAUACGAGCAUCAAUGAAGCUCCAUUUGAAACCCUCUACAACCUGAUAGCGCCCUCACGGGUCCGGAGAUCAUUCAAGAAACGACCGAGAAGAUUGUACAGAUUUGCGAACGAUUAAAACCCGCUAGGGAUCGACAGAAAAGCUACGCAGACAAGCAAAGAAAACCUUUGGAAUUCCAGGUGGGAGACCGAGUCCUUUUGAAAGUCUCACCCUGGAAGGGCACGAUACGCUUUGGAAAACGAGGAAAGCUAAACCCAAGAUACGUGGGGCCUUUCGAGAUUCUCGCCAGAAUAGGCCCCGUAGCUUACAAACUCAACCUACCCCAUGAGCUUAGUAACAUACAUCCUACCUUCCACGUAUCGAACUUGAAAAAGUGCCUAUCCGACGAGACUCUUGUAAUUCCACUCGACGAGAUCGAAAUCAACGAGAGUCUCAACUUCGUGGAACAACCUGUGCAAAUUAUGGAUCGAGAAGUCAAGCGAACGAAGCAAAGUUGCAUCCCAAUUGUAAAGGUUCGCUGGAAUGCCAAGCGAGGACCGGAGUUCACUUAGGAGCGCGAGGAUCAAAUGAAACAUAAAUAUCCUCAUCUUUUUGCUUAGUUAAUAUGUAACAACUUAGUUGCUUGAACUAUAAUUUCGGGACGAAAUUCCACUAUCGGGGGGAGGAUGUGACAACUUGGCACUUUUGCACUGAGAAAUCAAUCCAUAUAUCUAUAAUUCACUUGAAUUUAGCAUCUUUUAAUAGUAUAUGGAGUCCACACUAGUGUUUUAGGCUUAAUAUAUCAUAGAUAUAGACCUUAGGAAGGAUUAGGAAGGGUGUUGCAUCAUAAAACCCAACCACACACACCAAGAGAGGUGUGUGCGGUCGCACACUAGUGUGUGUGGCCAAGCCAGCCGCACACCUGGCAGCAAACCCCUCCAGCCUCACACUCAACCCUAUAUAAAGUGGAGGACCCCCUUCCAUUCACUUUUGGCUGCAUCCUUUCUCUCUCUAUACUUUCUCUCUCUAGAAAACCACCUAAAAACACCAAGAAGGCUCCCAAAACGUGCAGAACACCAUCAUUUAGCUUGUUAUAGAGGUAAAACACUUGAAUCCAAGCCUCAAACUCAUAAUGUUCUUUAUGUUCUUCAUCCUAUGAAGGAAUGCGGCCGCACACCUUCAUUAGGUGGCCGUACACACUCAUAAUACCCUCCAAAGUGAGAGUAAGGCCACAAAAUCGACACAUGGGAUUCAAGCAAGGAGUGUACGGCCGCACACACGCCUUGUACGGCUGCACACUCUAGUGUGCAGCCUCACUCACAAGUCUGGCCGCAUACCCAGCCGCACACUCACCUUUAUGGCCAUACACACACCCUAAUACUCGUAUUUGGCCUUAAACUUGCAUCGAUCAUAGGGUAUAGAACAUGGGACACUUACUCUUAGUGAUCCAAAGCCCUUAGGAGGAAUUUCCCAUCAUGUUUGGUCAUAAAACACAUUAACUCUAACUUAUAUAUGUGUCACCAUAUAAUUAAUAGGGGCUACGUACGUUUAGAGCAUCCGUUGACACUCAACACUCAUACGAAUCGCAUACUCGAACUCUACAAUAAACGGUGAGUUCAUACUCGAACUCUACACUUUUAGCUGCUUACCAAUAAAACUAUUUUAGUUGACUAUCAAAUACAUUUUUGGAUUUAAAUUGUUGUUAAACUAUUUUCAAAACUAUGUUUAAACUACUUUUCUUUUCUUUAAAAAUAUAUCUACUUUAAUAUAUUUAUAUAAGUAAGACUUGAAGAACGUAGGACCGAUAGCUCGCCUUAUUUCAUGUUCUUGUUUGAUGUGGUCUUAGGGUGUCUGUUGUUCGUCCGAUUGUCGUUGAAUUCUUAGUUAUAUAUCAUAUAUAUUUGUGAUAGAUAUGAAAGUUUUCAUCUUACCCGCUACCUUUACUAUUCAAAGGCAUGAAAUCAUACACUCUAGUUAACUAUAAUAGGUAUAGUUAAGACUACUGCUCGUUACCUCUACUACUACUAUACUCACUAUAACUGCUAUUAUUACAAGUUAAUACACGUAUAAGAGAACUCUCUAUGAACUAUACGAAAGACUACUAUACUAUAAUACAAGAGAAUACACUAAUUCAGAGUAUAACACACUAUCCCUCUAUAAGACACUCUACUGCGCUUACACCAUGUGACUAGGGCUUUCCGGAAGGAAGGCAGCACUACACGUAUAGAUCUAUAUGGCGUAGACACUAUUACAUCCUGACUGUUAACUACAGUCUGAGCCGACUAGGCCCAGGGGUGGCACUACAUCACUACACUACGCAUGACCGGGAAGGUCGUCGGGUUCUCUAUUAUCAUCCAGCCUGGUUACAUGAGGGUUACACCUUUAUUUUAAUUAAUGCACUAAGACUAAAGUCUAAGCUAACAUCCCGAUGUAAGUAAGUAUCUAUUACUAAUGGAAGUUUGCACCACUACUACUGCCAACAGGCAUAACUUUUCUUUAUCUAUGUUACUCACAUGAGAUUUAUUACCAUACUUCUACAACUGAAGGUUUUCAAUGAUAAUACCUACACAAAACUCAAAGGAUUUAACUUACAUUGUACUUUUCUGGAAAAUAUAGGAUUUUCUAGGAAUUUCUACUACUUAUAAACAUAAAUUUCAGUUUUUAUACUAUAAGCUUGUAAACACUUUUUAUACAACAACGACGUUGAAUUCUUAUGAACUCACCAGCUUUAUGCUGAUACUCGUUUUCAAAAUAACUUGUAUCCUCAGGUCAAAGAUAGACAGGUACAAGUGCAGCUUUUGGAGAAGAUGGAGCACAUACAAGACCCAUCUUUAAUUUUGUUAUACUUUUGGUGUCUAUAAACUUUAUAGAACACGUUUUGUAAUUAAAUUACUAUAUAGAUGCAGUGGUUGUUGUCACUUGUUUUUACUAUUAUGCAAUUGUUAUGAUAUUGUACAUGACGUCCUCCACCCCAGAACGUAUUCCAUCAUUUUUGGUUUUGGGGUGUGACAAAUUCGUAUCAGAGCCAAGUUUAUAGUGAAUCAAGUAUAUAAACCUACAAAAGAUAUACGAACUAUAAACACUUCGGGACUAAAACACUCCGACCAAGAAUAUAUACUAAAAUACUUAACUANUACAUUCACCACUACAAAAGGGUCAGUAUCAUACUAGAACAAAACAAAGUAUCAAGAUUGUUGAACAGCACAAUUAAGCUUAGAGACAUAUAGUCACAUCUGGGGGGAUGUAGCCUGAUCAACUACAUUUAUCCAGGAGUGACUUGCAUGUGCCUAAGAGUGAUUGUGGUUUUGCAAAAAGUCUAAAAAAAACUUACCAACACUACCACAAGAACGUUAGAAUAAGAAUACUAUAGGACUAUUCUGCAUUCUACUAACUAUGUAUGUGAUAACUAAAAAGGGUCGUUACUAGUAGGACAAUGGUUGCUAAGUGGAUACACCACGGUUACAUGUAACUAAGGCAUUAUAAACUCAGAAUCUAUGGCCUUUGCUUCAUUUCCUGUUCUUGUUUGAUUGGGGAUCUGAAGUUAGGGUUGCUUAUUCGAAGGACUAUCCUGCUCUGGUUACAUGUAAUUGGUAUGCACUACGCAAGUAUUGGGUCGACCAAUAACGAUCCAUCUCAUAAGUAUCCUAGAUAAGUACGUCUAUUAACCUUUCUCUCCCCAUUCUCGCGUAGAUAGCAUGGCUAGUUUCCACUACCCCGACAAUCCGUAUUAUCUGAACCAGGGCAAUGGAGGAUGGCUCGAUGUGGAGCCAGAAGAUGAUAACCCAAUCCCUUUGGAUGAUCAUCGUGCAGAAGGCUUUUCAAAUAGCCCCAGCUCCGAGCCAGAAGUCAACAACCCACCCCCUGUAGCUCCAAACCCUAACCCCCGUCCGACAUUUCAAGAUCCCACUCCCAUGUGGGCAAUAACCUUGAACCGAUGGAGCGAGGAACAGGGUCAGCCUUUACCUUACAAUGGAGACCGAAGCUUCUACAACAUAAGCGAGGGAGGAUCAGCGGACCGAGUUCUGCCCAUCAUGGUCCGAAGGAUUGCCAGGAACGUGGAGCAAGGUCAAGCAGCCAUUGGCCGAGAGGUAGAAGUGGAUGCCAACUCUAACCUCAACACUCUUCGCAUUCGUCAACUGGAAGAAGCCAUGGAUAGGACGAAGAGGACCAAUGAGGCUCUGCAGCAACAGCUAACUGCAUCCCGAGCCGAAGUUAGGGAACUUCGAGCACGUCAGUGGGCUCAUGAACGACAUCUUCAGGAAGUUAUGCAUCAACUAGCAGACCUGAGGGUUCGCCUAAUGGGGACCCGUCGCCAAUGGAAGACGUCGAAACACCUCGCUCUUUUGUUUAAGGACUAGCCUUUUCUUUUCUGUGCUCAGUAGAGCACUUGUCUGUAAACAUUUCCUAACUAUGAAAAUACCCUAACUGAACUCCUAGGCUGCCAACGUUUUCCCUUAUGGUUUGAUGUAAGACCUACUACUAGGUCAUUUUUCCUGAACUCAUUUUACAUCAUGAAUACCAGUAAUAUUGGCAAUUAACUAUUUUGUUGCUAUGAUUCUCUCUCUGAUUAUUGGUCUAUGUUGAUUAAGUCCAUGACACCCUCUUAUCAUACUUGCAAUAGACUCUCUUACUAUUGUCAACAUCUCUAUGAACUUUCAGUAAAAGAUGCCUCCUCGCAAGCGCCCGAGAAGAGGCAGACCAGCGACUCAAGCCCCACCUCCACCACCUCCUCCUCCGCAGUUCGAUUCGGUGCUGUUCCAAAUAGCUAUAACCGCAGCUGUGACGGCAGCCAUGGACCAAAUGAAUUCUGGCGAUGCUAGUGGAGCCGGAAUGGGCACCAACUCGAGACAUAGUGAAAUUCCCUCUUGUACACCAGGGUGUACUUAUAAAGAUUUCAUAAACUAUAAGCCCACAUUUUUCAAUUGGACCAGAGGAAUCCUAGCUCUGUCCCAAUGGAUCGAAAGAGCCGAAGCUGUUUUCGAAAUGUGCUCAUGCCCCGAAGAAAGCAAAAUCAAGUUCGCUGCUGCCACCAUCACUGAAAGGGCCCUUACAUGGUGGAAUGGCCAUGUCAACUCACUCUCUUUAGUAACAACUAAUGUCAUGGGUUGGGACACACUAAAGGACCUGUUGAGAAAGGAGUACUGCCCUAGAGGGGAGUUUCAGAAGCUUGAAGAGGAACUUUGGAACCUCAAGAUGAAGGGAACAGACAUAAUGGCUUAUACGGCUAGGUUCUGCGACCUGGUUGCUAUAUGCCCCAACAUGAUUCCUUCUGAAAGAAAGAAAAUCGAACGAUACAUCUGGGGUUUAGUACCCCCGUAUCAAGGAAAUGUUCUAUCUUCCCAUCCUGCAACCUUUGACAGCGCCAAGGAGUUGGCCCACAGGUUAAUUGAACAUGAAACUUCUUCCACUCCAGCUACAGCGACCACAACUGCCACUGCACCGCCCAAGACAACUGCCACUGCUACUCCUGCAUCAGCAAAGGCUUAUGUUGCGAACCUGCCCAAGUGCCCCAAGUGCCCCUUCCACCACAACGGCCCCUGUCGUGAAUUGCAAUGCACCAACUACAGCCGGAAGGGCCAUACUGUCUGGUUUUAAAUCUGAACCCAAACCUAUCUCGCAAGUCCCCAGUUCGGGAGUGACCCAGACCUGUUAUGGCUGCGGUGAAGCUGGCCAUUUUAAGAAAAAGUUUCUGAAGGAUGGGAAUGCGGGAGAAACAGGAAGACUACUCGCUAUUGGUCACAACGAAGCAGUAGCGGAUCCCACAGUGGUCACAGGUACGUUCCUUCUCAACAACUGUUAUGCCUGUGUCUUAUUCGAUAGUGGUGCAGAAAGAAGCUUCAUAAACCAAAACUUUAAACACCUACUUAAACAAUCCCCACAACCACUAAAAGAAACAUUCGUCGUAGAAAUGGCUAACGGAAAGACCGAAAGCUCUAAUGAAAUUUACAUAGGUUGUACCCAAGAUACGUAGGGCCUUUCAAGAUUCUCGCCAGAAUAGGCCCCGUAGCUUACAAACUCAACCUACCCCACGAGCUUAGUAACAUACAGCCUACCUUCCACGUAUCGAACUUGAGAAAGUGCCUAUCCGACGAGACUCUUGUAAUUCCACUCGACGAGAUCGAAAUCAACGAGAGUCUCAACUUCGUGGAAGAAUCUGUGCAAAUUAUGGAUCGAGAAGUCAAGCGAACGAAGCAAAGUCGCUUCCCAAUUGUAAAGGUUCACUGGAAUGCCAAGCGAGGACCGGAGUUCACUUGGGAGCGCGAGGAUCAAAUGAAACAUAAAUAUCCUCAUCUUUUUUCUUAGUUAAUAUGUAAUAACUUAGUUGCUUGAACUAUAAUUUCGAGACGAAAUUCCCCUAUCGGGGGAGGAUGUGACAACUUGGCACUUUUGCACUGAGAAAUCGAUCCAUAUAUCUAUAAUUCACUUGAAUUUAGCAUCUUUUAAUAGUAUAUGGAGUCCACACUAGUGUUUUAGGCUUAAUAUAUCAUAGAUAUGGACCUUAGGAAGGAUUAGGAAGGGUGUUGCAUCACAAAAUCCAGCCACACACACCAAGAGAGGUGUGUGCGGUCACACACUGGUGUGUGCGGCCAUGCCAGCCGCACACCUGGAAGCAAACCCCUCCAGCCUCACACUCAACCCUAUAUAAAGUGGAGGACCCCCUUCCAUUCACUUUUGGCUUCAUCCUUUCUCUCUAUACUUUCUCUCUCUAGAAAACCACCCAAAAACACCUANNNNNNNNNNNNNNNNNNNNNNNNNNNNNNNNNNNNNNNNNNNNNNNNNNNNNNNNNNNNNNNNNNNNNNNNNNNNNNNNNNNNNNNNNNNNNNNNNNNNGAGAAUAACUUAUCAAAAUAAAAGACGAGUCUUGAGUGCUCCGUCCUCUCUAAACCUUGUAUCGGCACCUGUCUAUAGUUGUAACCUGAGAAUACAAGUUAUUUUGAAAGAGUAGAUCAGCAUUUAAGCUGGUGAGUUCAUAAGUAUUUAAUGUCAUUGCUUUGAUUAAUUGAUAUGAAAGACUGGUGAAUGAUUGAUGAAACAUUUAGUAUAAGUAUGAAAACUCUAGAAAAUCCCAUAUUUCCUACUAGUAUAAAAGUAAUCUUCUACCAAGACCCGAAUGUUUUGAAAGUAGUCUUUUACCUAGACCUGACUGUUUUGAAAGUACGCAUCUCUUGAAAAUGUGACGGUUUUUCCCUGUUUAACUCUUAUUAGUAGUCUCUUAAGUAUACCUGAAAUGGUAUCAACCUAGAACAUCCGUAGACUGUUCAUUUACCUCUGUUGCUAACAGCCGGGUUUAGGAAUAGUUAGUCCCUUAUGUAUACCCACGAUGGUAUCAACCUAAAACAUCCGUAGAUUGUUCAUUUACCUCUGUAGCUAACAGUGGUUGUCGGAAUGGUUAGUCCCUCAAAGUAUCAUGUGGUACUAGGAGAUAAAGUCCCAAUCUAUCUCGUCGAUGAUGUGAUUGAAUCACAAGGUAAAGAUAGAAAGGCGAACGAUAUAACCGUAUCUUAGACAUAUAACAUGUAAUAGUAAUUUGCCAUCCAAGACUUGUAUGGAUGGAAACUCAAAAUAGAUGUUUUAAUUAAAUCAUGCUUUAUCGUAAGGUUUUCUAAAUUACCGAGACAAAGAGGAAUGAUGUCUUACCUAAAAUCGGAAUACAUGUCAUGAAAAUAAACCACAACACAAAAGAGAAUUUUUUGUUGUGUAGGCCAUUUAUUUGACAAACAGUAUUGCUUGAUUUUUAUUGUAAGAAUAGAAGUAAAACAAACGAUCAUAGUUUAUGUCGAAUUAGAACUCCUUACAUAGUCAUUCAAGUGAAGCAUAAACUUGUCAGCAUCGUUCAAUUUGAGCAUAACAGUUUGUUAGCACCAUUACUUAAGAUCUUGAAAUUUUAUUAUUAAUGUAUGUUCAUAUUGAAAUUAAAUUAGUAUAUAAAUUGAAGAGGUUAUGUUACGUUUGACAUCAAUUUAAGUGUAUGUGACAUCAUUAAUUUCAAACACAACAUAACCUCUUCUAUUUACAUGCUAAUUCAAUUUCAAUACGAACAUACAUUAAUAAGAAAAUUUAAAGAUGGUAAUUAAUGGUGCUAACUAACUACUAUGCUCAACUUGAAUGGUGCUAAAGAGUGUUAUGCUUCAGUUGAAUGACUUUUUAAGGAGUGGUAAUCCAACAUAAAGUAUGAUCCUUUCUUAAUUCUAUUCAUACAAUAAAAAUCAAGAGGUAUUGUUCUGUAACAACCCGAAGUUUUCCAUCGCCGAAAAACCCAUUCUACCCGUAUAACUCGCCGUGUGCCGAAACGUUCCGAUGUCGUUUUUGGGUUUAGUUAAUUAAAUUUAUAUGUUUAUUAUGAUCCAUUGAGUGUCCAAACCCUUUAGGAACUCAUGAAACAAGCCCAAAAUAUUUAUUUCAUCAGUUUUAGAAAUGUCCCCGUCGGGUGACGGAAACUCAAUCGGGUGCGACCUAAAGCCUCGUUUAAGGCCGGUAUCGGGUAGAAUUCCACCGUGUCCAAGUUUUGGGAACUAUAUAAACAUAUUAAACCUUUCAUUUGAAGCUUUUUCCCUCUCUCUCUACUCUCUCUCUAACCUCUCUCCUAAAUCCAAAGUUUAAGGGUCCAAAACUCAAUUUUAAGGCCUCAAAUCCCUAAGGUACCUUCCUAACUUCAUUGUAUAGCAUAUUUGGCUUCUAAAUUCGAGAUUAAAUCAUGAGAUUGGACAUAUUAUAUGAGUUUACGGCCCAGGAAGAUGCCUAGGCCGUAAACACUAAGUUUGAAGGGUUUUGAGCCCAUAAACCCCUUCCAGACAAUUUUGGGACCUAGAUAUGACUUAAUGACUUCAUGAAUUGGACUUAUAACAAUUUAAACAUGAAUUUUGAAGGAUUUGAAGGAGUUUAUGGCCAAGCCUCAUGCUUGGGCCGUAAACUCAUAUAAUUGAGGUUUUCAUGACCUUAAACCCUUCCAAAUCACUAAUAAGGCUUAGGUAUGAAUUAUAGAAUAUUGGUUUUAGCAUUUGGACACUUGAAACAUAAUUUUUGAAGGAUUAUUGUGAGUUUACGGCCAAGGCAAGUGCUUGGGCCGUAAACUCCUUAAAACAUGGUGAAAAUUCAUUUUAAAGUGUUGUUUAACCCCUAUAACACCCCUAAAGCCUUGGAAUGAAUUUUAGAAGUCCUUACAAUCAAGUUUUUUGGUCUUAAAACAUAUGGAAUAACUCUCUAAGAGAGUUUAUGGCCAUGAGGGGGGUCUCAUAGGCCGUAAACUCCAAAAACCCCUCCAAAAUUUCAAGGAAAUGCAUGAAAGGCCUAGGAAUAAAUUUAGUAAUCACAUGUGAUUUGUUUUAGCAUCAUUUAACACAAUUUUCAUGGGUAUUAAGGAGUUUAUGGCCAGGAGUCCAUGCUAGGCCGUAAACUCCCAUAAAUAAGUCAUUUUGAUGUUUGAAAUCCAUUCCAAGCCUUUAAACCAAACCUAGAAAAUUCCCUUAAGUGUUACAAGCAAAAUUGUGCCAUAACUCACCCCACCAUGAGUUUACAGCCGUAAACUCAUGAGGAGAGGGUCAUUAUGGCCGUAAACUCCCUAAGGAGUGUUCCUUUGAAGUCCCAGUUCAAUAUCCUAACUAUAUGUGUCCCUAAAUGUCACCCGGGUCCCUCCAAACACUUGUAUCGGGGUGUUUUCGCGACUAGAAACAUUUGUCCCUAUCAAAUAAUCAAUCUAAGUCCUAAUUAGAUACAAAUGUGUAUCUUUACAUAAUACUUAGGAACCUCGUGUGUUUGCAAGCCCCGGACCAACACUUAGCAUCCAAAUCGUCACAUUUCUCGUCCGGUGAGUUCAUACCCCUACGCCUUUUCCGUGUUUUUCAAUGUUUUCAGGGGGGGAAUACAAGCAAACUUAACUGUUUUCAAAUCAUAACAUUGAUAUAUUUCUAAUAAUAUCUGGCAAAUUUAUAAACACUUUUACUCCUUAUGUAUUAUGCUGAGCAUAAGGAAUGAUUUAUCAAUUACAACUAAAUGGAUUUUAGUUAAGAAAAUAACCAAACUAAUCAAAUUAUUAUGGGAAUAAUUUGGGGUUCUAUAUUUCUCUUUAUAUCAUGUACUGAUAUCUGUAUAAAGUUAUUAGAUAAACUAUGUCUGAUUCAGUUUAUCUCCGUAUCAUUUGAAUGUAUUGCCAGAUAAUUUCAUAGUAUGUAUCUAUUUUCACUGUAUUAUGUUUCACAAUCUUUGUAUGUUUGAUAUCGUAUGAGAAUCCUGUGAAUAGUUUAGUACUAGGUUGUGAGUAGUCACUACCCUUUAUGGAUGAUCAGUAAAUCCUCCUCGGAAGUGUAACCAGAGUCUCCUGGAGGGAGAGCGAGGAAUUUGUGAAUAGAUCUAUUCGGGACUGACAAUCCCACACCUUAACUGCUAGCUACAGUUAGGCGGGCACGCCUGGGGUGACAAAUUCUGGAUAUCAUUCGACGUCUGACUAACGUCAAGGAGGUCUCGUUGUCAUAUCAGCAUGGUUACCCGACUCACAAUACGUAUUAAUAUAACUUAUUCACAGCUAGGGUUUGUUUAGAAUCUAUAUCUUGUUCGGGAUGGUAAUCCCAUGGUCUUGUAUCUAUAUCUCGUUCGGGAUGGUAAUCCCAUGGUUUUAUGUCUAUAUCUCGUUCGGGAUGAUAAUCCCAUGAUCUUGUGUCUAUAUCUCGUUCGGGAUGGUAAUCCCAUGGUUUUGAAACUAAAUCUUAUACGGGAUGAUAAUCCCAUGAUUUUAUCAAUCUAUCAUAUAUCUAGUUUCGGGAUAGUGAUCCCAUGGUUUAUCAAGCUAUCUUAUAUCUACUUUCGGGAUAGUGAUCCCAUGGUUUUUAUCGAAUUAUCUUAUAACUGGUUCGGGAUGUAGUCCCAAGGUUUUCAAAAUACUUUCUAUUUACAGUUCGUCUAAAUUAUAGUUUUGUGAAUUAAACUAUACUAUGUGUUAUCCAAUCAAUCUUACAAUUAGGAAAAUAUGGGAUUUUCCUGGGGUUAACUUAUAUCUGUAACAGAACUGUAACGAAAGAUAACUUAACUACUUUACAUAAGAAAAUAUGGGAUUUUCUUGGAUAUCAAAUCUUUUCAGAAAACUAAAGGAAAUCGAUACAUUUUCACAAAACAAAACCGCUUAUGAACUCACCAGCUUUAUGCUGAUUUUCAAACUGCUUGUAUUCUCAGGUCCAAGUUAGACAGGUACCCGGUGAUCUCUUUUGGUGAAGACGGAGUGCGUGGAAGACUCGUCUCGUUUUGUUCAUAUGAUAUAUGUAUAACUUUUGUACAAUUUACUUUUGAACCAAAUGUAAACUUUCAUAUAUAUGUAAUGUAAUGGUUGUUUACUGUGAUUACUAUGUACAUUGGAUUUGAUACACAACUUGGAGUCAACCCCGGAAAUGUUUCCGCCUUUGAUUUUCGGGGUGUGACAGAUUGGUAUCAAAGCCCUUGUUUAUAGUGAACAGAGUAUACCAAACCUUACAUGGCAUGAAACUAUAAACACUAAAGGGCCUCAGUGAUCUGAAUUAAAAGUAUCUUCAAAACUAUAAGUAUUUUCAAAAGUAUACAAGUAUACCGAACCGUCGAGAUCCGUAACUACAAGUAGAACAAAACAUAAGUAAAUGGGUGUUGUACACUGCGGUUAAACCUGGGCAGUUAUGUAGUCGUGUCUAGGAUCAAUAUAGCCUGGACAACUAUAUUCAUUCGAGCCACGGCCAACAUGUGCCCGGGAGUGACUGUGGUAUGCGGCAUGCAUAAAACUUACCCNNNNNNNNNNNNNNNNNNNNNNNNNNNNNNNNNNNNNNNNNNNNNNNNNNNNNNNNNNNNNNNNNNNNNNNNNNNNNNNNNNNNNNNNUAUACGCGUUAUUCCUUGAUCAUUCCUCUAGCGAUAAAAUGUUCUAUCUUAAUAACUCCUUUCUGCUUUAUCGCUUAGUAUGAUGUUAUAUUUGUCUUGAUGAGAUAUCCCUUGUUACAUAUCUCUUGAUUCAAUUCAGAGGACUUAUGAUCCUCUCUUUCCUGAUCUUUUUAGAUCAAGAUGCCUCCCAGAAAGAGACCCAGCUCACAGAACAACAACAAUCCUCCUCCGCCACCACCUCCUAUUCAAAUCGAUUUGGAAACACUUCAGGCAACCAUUUCUGCCACCAUAUCAGCUCUCCUACCUCAACUGAACCCUAGUGGUUCAGGGGGUGGAACCCAAAACCCAGAUGAUAGCCAGGGACACCAAAAAGGGGGUUCCUAUAAAGACUUCAUGAACGCAAAACCGACAUUCUUUGCUGGCCCAGGGGGUGUCAUUGCUUUAACCCGAUGGUUCCAGAAAAUCGAAUCAAUCUUUGAAAUAUGCACCUGUUCGGAGUCUGAUAGAGUCAAGUUUGCUGCCUGCACCUUUCUAGACAAAGCCUGACUUGGUGGAACGGCCGAGUCAAAUCUUUAACUUUACCUGUAGCCAAUGCUAUGGGUUGGGAAGCUAUGAAGGAGCUUCUUCUCGCAGAAUAUUGCCCUCGGGGCGAACUCCAGAAGCUAGAACACGAACUUUGGAACCUUAAGAUGAAGGGUUCCGACAUAGCUGCUUAUACCUCAAGAUUCGAUGAUCUGGCGUUACUCUGUCCGGGAAUGGUUACCCCGGAGAGUAAAAAGAUUGAGAGGUUCAUCUGGGGGUUGACCCAGCCAACAAAGGGGAAUGUCUUGGCUGCGAAGCCAGACACAUAUGACAGUGCUAAAUGUCUUGCGAAAAUCUUGAUCGAUCACGAAGACAACUCUGAUGAGGAAGCUACCAACCCCGAGCCAGUCACCAGUGGAGGCGGAAGCAAAAUGAAAUCUUGGAAUAAGCGGAAGGCCCCGAGUAUGCAAAGGUCUUCUAAGAAACAGCAAACAGUAGCAGUCCAUGCUGCUACUGCCCCUGUUGUUGUUUCGGCUGUCGGUUCCAUAGCCCAAACUCCUACCAGUGGAUACACUGGUACCCGUCCUUGGUGUGGUAAGUGCAACUACCACCACCGCAUUCCUGGUCCAUGUCGCGAAAGGAUCUGCGACAACUGUGGCAAUAAGGGCCACCUUGCUCGAACCUGCAGAAAACCAGCCAAAUCAACGAACCAAUCAUCCGGAGCGGGAAUCAGUCCGGCCUGCUACAAUUGUGGUGAAGCAGGGCACUUCAAGAGGAAUUGCCCCAAAGCAGCUACAACCACUGAUCCCUCUGUCGCCGCAGGUAUACUUCUCUUUGAUAAUUCUUAUACCUGCAACUCUUUUCGAUUUUAGUACAAAAAGGGAAACCUGUUAUCCAUCUAUUCGAACAUUUUCUAAACUCAAUCCUUCGUAUGUAAUCGAAAUGUGUACCGUCGAGAUGACUAACCAGUGAGAUACAGAACACUAACUUCGUACCCAUAGAUUGAAUCCUCAGUCCGGAGGAUUAUUCUGCUCCAUUCGAUUUAAAAAGGGGAAAACUUUCUACAAAAAUACUUUGAUGCUAUGUCUAAAAUCAAAUGACCGAGUCUCCUUCAUGUUGCUAUCCUUGGUUUCGAAAGGGUCGCUCGUCUAGAUCUUUUCUUGACCCGGAUCUCGUGAUCUUCGGCAUCAAACUUUCGUAUCAUUCCAUGCCUUAGAACUCAAAAGUUUUUCCAAUAUGAAUUACCACGCAUCUCUCGUUUCUGUGAUUAUUGAGAAACAGGAAGUUAGCAGCUCUUUCCCCUAAAUGUCUUUCCCGAAGGAUUCCCGGGAAUUUUUUUCGAACGUCUAGUUUAGUCUCACAUCAGACCCUUCAAGAUCUUUGUAGAAAUCGAUUCUGCAACCUUUAGAUUUCGGAUUCCCUUAGAGCUUGAUAACAUCUAUCAAGUCCAUCACAUCUCGAAAACUUAGAAGUACCUACUCAACGAAACCCUAGUGAUUCCUUGAGGAAACCGAAGUCGUCCAGGGUUGGAACUUCCAUGAGAAAACCAAUUGAUAUCAUAGAUUGAGAGAGAGUCAAUGUGCAAAACAAAGACACGUCCCGAUAAUGAGAAUUCGUUAGAACUCCCAGUAGAGACCUGAUUCCACUUGAGAAAGUGAAGAUCCAAGGCAACAAAUCCAUUCAUGUCUCGUUCCAAUUCAUGAUCUGCAUCUUAUUCUAUGAAUUUCGGGAGGAAAUUCCCUCUAACGGGGGGAUAAUGUAACAACCCGAAGUUUUCCAUCGCCGAAAAACCCGUUCUACCCGUAUAACUCGCCGUGUGCCGAAACGUUCCAAUGUCGUUUUUGGGUUUAGUUAAUUAAAUUUAUAUGUUUAUUAUGAUCCAAUGAGUGUCCAAAACCUUUAGGAACUCAUGAAACAAGCCCAAAAUAUUUAUUUCAUAAGUUUUAGAAAUGUCCCCGCCGGGUGACGGAAACUCAAUCGGGUGCGACCUAAAGCCUCGUUUAAGGCCGGUAUCGGGUAGAAUUCCACCGUGUCCAAGUUUUGGGAACUAUAUAAACGUAUUAAACCUUUCAUUUGAAGCUUUUUCCCUCUCUCUCUACUCUCUCUCUAACCUCUCUCAUAAAUCCAAAGUUUAAGGGUCCAAAACUCAAUUUUAAGGCCACAAAUCCCUAAGGUACCUUCCUAACUUCAUUGUAUAGCAUAUUUGGCUUCUAAAUUCGAGAUUAAAUCAUGAGAUUGGACAUAUUAUAUGAUUUUAUGGCCCAGGAAGAUGCCUAGGCCGUAAACACUAAGUUUGAAGGGUUUUGAGCCCUUAAACCCCUUCUAGACAAUUUUGGGACCUAGAUAUGAAUGACUUCAUGAAUUGGACUUAUAACAAUUUAAACAUGAAUUUUGAAGGCUUUGAAGGAGUUUACGGCCAAGCCUCAUGCUUGGGCCAUAAACUCAUAUAAUUGAGGUUUUCAUGACCUUAAACCCUUCCAAAUCACUAAUAAGGCUUAGGUAUGAAUUAUAGAAUAUUGGUUUUAGCAUUUGGACACUUGAAACAUAAUUUUUGAAGGAUUAUUGUGAGUUUACGGCCAAGGCAAGUGCAUGGGCCGUAACCUCCUUAAAACAUGGUGAAAAUUCAUUUUAAAGUGUUGUUUAACCCCUAUAACACCCCUAAAGCCUUGGAAUGAAUUUUAGAAGUCCUUACAAUCAAGUUUUUGGUCUUAAAACAUAUGGAAUAACUCUCUAAGAGAGUUUAUGGCCACAAGGGGGGUCUCAUAGGCCGUAAACUCCAAAAACCCCUCCAAAAUUUCAAGAAAAUGCAUGAAAGGCCUAGGAAUAAAUUUAGUAAUCACAUGUGAUUUGUUUUAGCAUCAUUUAACACAAUUUUCAUGGGUAUUAAGGAGUUUACAGCCAGGGGUCCAUGCUAGGCCGUAAACUCCCAUAAAUAAGUCAUUUUGAUGUUUAAAAUCCAUUCCAAGCCUUUAAACCAAACCUAGAAAAAUUCCCUUAAGUGUUACAAGCAAAGUUGUGCCAUAACUCACCCCACCAUGAGUUUAUGGCCGUAAACUCAUGGGGAGAGGGUCAUUAUGGCUGUAAACUCCCUAAGGAGUGUUCCUUUGAAGUCCCAAUUCAAUAUCCUAACUAUAUGUGUCCCUAAAUGUCACCCGGGUCCCUCCAAACACUUGUAUCGGGGUGUUUUCGCGACUAGAAACAAUUGUCCCUAUCAAAUAAUCAAUCUAAGUCCUAAUUAGAUACAAAUGUGUAUCUUUACAUUAUACUUAGGAACCUCGUGUGUUUGCAAGCCCCGGACCAACACUUAGCAUCCAAAUCGUCACAUUUCUCAUCCGGUGAGUUCAUACCCCUACGCCUUUUCCGUGUUUUUCAAUGUUUUCAGGGGGGGAAUACAAGCAAACUAUAACUGUUUUCAAAUCAUAACAUUGAUAUGUUUCUAAUAAUAUCUGGCAAAUUUAUAAACACUUUUACUCCUUAUGUAUUAUGCUGAGCAUAAGGAAUGAUUUAUCAAUUACAACUAAAUGGAUUUUAGUUAAGAAAAUAACCAAACUAAUCAAAUUAUUAUGGGAAUAAUUUGGGGUUCUAUAUUUCUCUUUAUAUCAUGUACUGAUAUCUGUAUAAAGUUAUUAGAUAAACUAUGUCUGAUUCAGUUUAUCUCCGUAUCAUUUGAAUGUAUUGCCAGAUAGUUUCAUAGUAUGUAUCUAUUUUCACUGUAUUAUGUUUCACAAUCUUUGUAUGUUUGAUAUCAUAUGAGAAUCCUAUGAAUAGUUUAGUACUAGUUUGUGAGUAGUCACUACCCUUUAUGGAUGAUCAGUAAAUCCUCCCCGGAAGUGUAACCAGAGUCUCCUGGAGGGAGAGCGAGGAAUUUGUGAAUAGAUCUAUUCGGGACUGACAAUCCCACACCUUAACUGCUAGCUACAGUUAGGCGGGCACGCCUGGGGUGACAAAUUCUGUAUAUCAUUCGACGUCUGACUAACGUCAAGGAGGUCUCGUUGUCGUAUCAGCAUGGUUACCCGACUCACAAUACGUAUUAAUAUAAAUUUAUUCACAGCUGGGAUUUUGUUUAGAAUCUAUAUCUUGUUCGGGAUGAUAAUCCCAUGGUCUUGUAUCUAUAUCUCGUUCGGGAUGAUAAUCCCAUGGUUUUGUAUGUAUAUCUUGUACGGGAUGGUAAUCCCAUGGUUUUGAAUCUAUAUCUUGUACGGGAUGGUAAUCCCAUGACUUUAUCUAACUAUCUUAUAUCAAAUUCAAGAUAGUGAUCCCAUGGUUUUAUCAAACAAUCUCAUAUCUGAUUCGGGAUAGUAGUCCCAUGGUUUUCAAUCUAUAUUUUCUAGUAUAUCAAACUAUCUUGUAACUAGUUCGGGAUGUUAUUCCCAAGGUUUUCAAAAUACUUUCUAUCUACAGUUCGUCUAUAUUAUAGUAUUCUUGUCUAAUUCGGGAUAGUAAUCCUAUGAUUUUCAUCAUAUAGUUUUGUGUAUUAAACUAUACUCUGUGUUAUUCAAUUAAUCUUGCAUUUAGGAAAAUAUGGGAUUUUCCUGGGGUUAACUUAUAACGCGUAACUAAACUGUAACGAAAGAUAACUAAACUAACUUUACAUAAGAAAAUAUGGGAUUUUCUUGGAUAACAAACCUUUUCGGAAAACUAAAGGAAAUCGAUACAUUUUCACAAAACAAAACCGCUUAUGAACUCACCAGCUUUAUGCUGAUUUUCAAACUGCUUGUAUUCUCAGGUCCAAGUUAGACAGGUACCCGGUGAUCUCUUUUGGUGAAGACGGAGUGCUCCGAAGACUCGUCUCGUUUUGUUCAUAUGAUAUAUGUAUAACUUUUGUACAAUUUACUUUUGAACCAAAUGUAAACUUUCAUAUAUAUGUAACGUAAUGGUUGUCUACUGUCAUUACUAUGUACAUUGGAUUUGAUACACAACUUGGAGUCAACCCCAGAAAUGUUUCCGCCUUUGAUUUUCGGGGUGUGACAUAUUCCUCAAGCCAAUGACCUACAUAGAAAAAAGUUCUUUUGUCGUGAUGGUUUUGGUGUUGUAUAUUUGCAUGAUAUGUGUUCCGACUUUAGGUAUGACAUCAUUACUCCAUAUUUGGGUAUUUUAUAAAAAUUUACUAUAAAGCAUGAUAUAAUUAAAACAUCUAUAUUGAAUUUUCAUCUAUACAGCUCUUGGCCCAGCAUGUUUCGGACGGUGUGACGCAAUCAGCAUCGAUUGCUAACAACUUUGACAAGAACUAGGUUUUGCUAUAGGUUCAUACGAAGCAUGGCCUUCAUCUCAGUGUUGUUGCCAUGAUUAAAUUACUAUUGUGUUAAUAUCCACUUGUAAGGAAUAUAUACUCCGUAAACCAUCAAAUAAUGGGUUAAUAAUGAUAAAAUAUUUUCAUGGUAUACUGAUGUUACGUUAAACUACAUGAUAAUCCCAUAAAGCUAUUAAAAAAAUUUAGUUUAGUAAUGUUCGUUUAUUUAUUUGAAUGUGUAACUAAUAAACAAAUAUACAUCACCCAAAAAUUUCAUAAGAUACUACAUAGCCGAAGCCACUUUUAAUAACUCUGAAGAUCACUUUGUAACCUUCAAUGUUAUUUUUUAUAAAAGGGAAACAAUAAAGAUAUAAUAAAAUCCUUUGAUGGGGUAUUCCAAGAUGUUACAUCUCUAUGGAACGUCUUUGUUAACUUCAUAGAUUGUCAUUACUACUACUGUUUAUGUAAUAUUUUUUCCAUUUUUAAAUUUAUGUUUCGGUAAACCUUGGCUUUAGUGAGUCCCUUAUGGCAUGUGAAUAGACGUCUGUCAUACUAAAUAGUAUGGUUUUAUCUUACUUUUUUAAAUUUAUUUAUGGGUAAGCCACUGUUGCCCAAGGAAUCUUCGGCCAUCGUCGCCGGAAGGGACUAUUGUGAGUUAUAGGGUGGAGUCGGAUUGACAUUUAUCCCGGAUGGUGUCAUCUAUCAGAGGUCGCAACACUUCGAUAUUUUUUUUUUUUUGGAAUUAGUUGAUAUAAAUAGUAAAGUUAUUCAUUUAUUUGUUUAUUAUAGCCAUAUCUUGUCAACNUAUUUGUUUAUAUAGCCAUAUCUUGUCAACUUUGACAAUCUUUUUAUGUUUCAUAAUGAUCUACGUUGUUUGGGUCAUGGUUAACAAAUUGGUAUCUCAUUGCAAUUAUGGUUAAGAUUUUUAGCUGUCAAAUAGCAAGUUUAACGUUUAAAUUGACCUUUCUAUGACCACAUCAUUGGAUUUUUAGAAUGCCAUUUAUAGUUAUGAGAUAAAAGAAGAAAU
This 56657-nucleotide long non-coding RNA is filed under the name Lactuca sativa (garden lettuce). Its description in RNAcentral is "long non-coding RNA (LSAT_LNC001136)". The record is from RNAcentral. Lineage: Eukaryota; Viridiplantae; Streptophyta; Magnoliopsida; Asterales; Asteraceae.